This 72335-nucleotide long non-coding RNA is filed under the name Vitis vinifera (wine grape). Its description in RNAcentral is "long non-coding RNA (VVIN_LNC006283)". Lineage: Eukaryota; Viridiplantae; Streptophyta; Magnoliopsida; Vitales; Vitaceae. The record is from RNAcentral.
GAAUUGAUAUUGGAUCUCAUUAUAAACAAUCUUGGCAAUGGUAGUUUUACCAAUUCCACCAGGUCCAUAGAUCCCAACCACACGAAUGUCAUUCAAGUCACUACUUAACAAUGAUUUUAGUUCUUUUAGGCGAAAAUCCAUCUCAACUACAUAAUCAUUACUGUGCAAAAGCUUAGAAUUCAUUGAUCUUUUAAAAAUCUGGUGAACAAUUUCCUUAAUAUGCUUUGACUCAUACCUGCCAAUUAUAAAGUACAAUUUAACACUUCAUGAGUCAUAAUGAAUUGCAAGAGAUAACAAAUAUUAAGUAAAUUUAGUGAUAUUUACUUGAUUUUGUCAAUAUAACCAAAGUAAUAGGAUGUAAAAAGUAUUAGAAGCUAAGAACCCAAUAUAUUGAGCAUUUUACGGAUAAUAAGAAGGCAACAAGUUUUGAGCCAAGUAUUAAUAAGAUCACAAAGUAAGCUUUACUAUUCAAAAUUAUUAACUUGUUAAGUCAUGAUUUAAGACAACUAAAUCCUUACAACUUAAUUAAAUCAAAAGCACAAAUUAAGGAAGUUGAAGUUACCCAUCAUUCACAUGGAAACCACUUAGAUUGCUUGCUUCAUUCAAGGAAUCCCUCCACCUUUGCACUUUUUUCGCAUCUACGUUUCUUUCAUGAAUGAAAAAUGCCUCUCCGAAGCUCCCUGUUUGCUUUCGCACAUCAGAAGGAUCCACGUGGGAGAACACCGGAAAGACUAUUUGUUCCAUUUCUUCCCUGCACUCCAUGAUCUUCGCUAACUCAUCCAAACACCACUUCGAUUGAGCAUAGUUUUUUGAGAACACAACUAUGGAAAUUCUUGAUUCUUCAAUAGUUUUCAAAAGUUCUGAUUUGAUCUCCUCUCCUCUUUCAAGUUAGUCGUCUCUGAAAGUCUUAAUCCCCAUCCCAUGCAAAUUUACGAAUAAAUGAUCCGUAAAAUUGUUGCAGGUGUCUUCACCUCUAAAACUCAAGAACACUUCGAACUCAUAUUUACGGACUGAGGUAGAAGAAGAGGAGGGUUUUUGGGUAGAGGAAGCCAUUGUUGGACAGUUUCUGGAUGAAAGUUUAGAGAGAGUUGAGGAUUAACUCGUGCUUAGUCAAUACUUGAAAUGCCCACAUAUGAAGCCAUUGUAUGAAACAAAACUUUAUUUUUAUUUUUUAUUUGGGGUGGUGGGGGUGGGAUGGGGGUUGGAUUGUAAAAAAGCAAACAUCGAUUCUGCAAUACAUGCAAGCAGGUGAUCGGUGGCUUUUAAAAAAAAUAUAAAGGACCACCCACCACAAAACCCGUCAAAGCCUUAAAUUAAAAUUUCAUUUUUCGGUAUUAUGGCCAUUGGCACUUUCCUUUGACCAUAUGAAAGCAAAACUUCCAUGGGCAAUUUAAUAUAUAGUUUAUUCCUCCCUCCUAAAUUUUAAUUUAAAUUCAAUUAAUUUAUUUUUCAUAUUCUAUUUAAUAUAUUAUUAAAAAUAUCAUAAUAAUCUUAUCAAUGAGUCUUUAUUAAAAAUAAAUAAACUUGGAUAUAAAAUUGUUAACAUUUUUAAACAUAAAAAUAUAUACAUAUAUCAUUAUUUCUUUUAUAUUUUAAAUAAAAAUCAUAUGCUUGAUUACUUAAAAAAUAAAAUUUUAAUAAAUUAAUUAAUUUAAUUGUCUUAUUAUUAAAUUUUAUUUAAAUUUGAAAUUUCCAUCUUAUGCAAAUUUCAUAAAUUUGAAAGCACAUCAUAUUAAAUUUUCCAAAAUUAAAUUAUAUUGUAUGGACUUAGAAAUCUUUCAGGAACUUUAAAAAUAUUAAAGCCAUUAUAAAUUUUAUUUUAUUCAAGUUUUAAAAAUAAAAUCGUUAUAGGUUUUAUUUUAUUUGAGUAUAUUAAAUCACUUUUUAAAUACAUUUUAAAAUGAAAAAGUCUGUUUUGUUUGAAGUUCUUAAUUAAUUUAUUAGAGAAACAUUAAAAUUAAAAAUUGUCUAUUUUUUAUUUUAAAAUAUAUUGGUUUCAUUCAAAAUUUUAAAACCAUUUCUUGGUAAAAAGAACAAAAAUAUAAAAAUGAAUAAAUUAAUUUAUUAUUUUAAAAUUAUUUAAUUGAAAUUAUUUUUUAAGAUAAAAUUCAAGAUUGAUAGAAAUAACUAUUCAAUUCGUUAUUCAAUUUAAUAUAAAAUAGUACAUUCUCAAAAUUUUAUUAUUUAAUUAUAAAUGAUAAACUUUUGCAGGUCAAUACUUGAUAUGCCUAAAGAGCAUCCAUCUUUGAUUCUUUGGGUGCUUAUGUGAAACAAAACCACUUUGGUUUGGUCAUUGAAGUGGCUCAAGGUACAUCGGCAGAAAAAAAAUUUUAACUAAAACAAUAUUUAUUAUUUACUUAUAUAACUAAUAUUUAUUUAAAAUUAAAUAUUCAUCCUUUUAUGAGAUGUACCAAGAGUCAUUUAUUCACAACAAUAAAAGGGAGGUGUGUGGCUUUCAAAAGAAUAUGAGGAAUGACCCACCCACCACAAAAUUCAAAAUCAUUUUUGUUUUCUAGCAUUUGCAUUUUAUUUACAAUAGUAAAAGAGAAAUGAGUGGGAAGUUGAGUGGCCUCCAAAAGAAUAUAAGAAAGAAUUCACUCACCACAAAAUUCAAAACCACCAUUGUUUCCUAGCAUUUGCAUUUGGUUCACAAUGGUGAAAAAGUAAUGGGUGAGAAGUGGUUUUAUUUAAAAGAAUAUAAGGACCCAUCCACCACAAAAAUUCAAAAGCACCUUCGUUUCCUAUCAUUUACAUACCAAACAAUUUUAUCUUUUUCUCUUCAUUCCUUUUCACUGUCCAAUGGUAGAUUGGUUCAUCUGAACCCAUCAUGAUGAACAAUUGGUAAUCUACCAUUGUUAUAGGGAAGGUUGAAGGUAAUGCUUGAGUCAUUUCUUCACUUGAAAAAAAAAAAAGAGAGAGAAUUGAGUUGGAUUUUUCUCAUCUUGGAAAAUUCCGAGAUCCUUAGUGGGUAGAAAACAAGACUUCAUAAAAAAAUAAAAAAAAUAAAUAAAUAAAUAAAAAAAAUUCCUUUGUGCAUUUUUUCCUUGGCUUUUUUCCUUUGUGCAUUUUUUAUGUGACUUGGUGAAAAAUUAUUAUUUAUUUUGAGUUAUAUUAUAUUGAGUUACCAUUUGAUAGGUUGCACUAGUUUUUAGUAAGCAAGUUUUUCAUGGUAUUUGUUUGUUGGUGUUACAAGUUCUUGAUCAUAUUAUUAAUAUUAUUUUAUCAUAAAUUAUUUUGAAUAUAAAUAUAAAUAAGAUGGUAGCUUAAUCAAUUUCUUAGGUUGUAAGAUAAAGAUAAUAAUACCACAAUUCUCAUCAUAAAAAAUGUUGAAAAAAUAAAAUCUGAAAAAUGAGAAUGGUCCAACCUUGUUGUUUCCACAUCUCUACCUAUCAAUAAAUUAAACUGAAAAUAAGUACAUAUGUAAUAAAACAAAUGAAAAGAAAUAUCUCUUAUUCAUAUUUACAAUUGUAGACCCUUUUUUUUUUUUAAAACCAAAGUUUUUUUUCUUCUUCUUUUUUUAUUUUUUACCACCCGGAAGGAGUUGAAGGGCAUUUCAUUUGAAGUGGGGGACAUCUUCCAUGAAGCUCCAUGCAUGGACAUGUGGCAAACAUCACCAUCUCGCCAUGGUGGUGGUUGAAGAUGGUGACUAUGGACCCCGCAUUUCGCUCAAUGCGUUCCCACUCGAUGGCGAAACUCGCUUUUUAUUUUAAAAAAUUGAUUUUUACUGUUUGAAAAAUGACUUGGAGUCGCCACUUAUUUUUAUUUUUAUUUUUAAAGGGUAAACAAAAUAAGAAAGAAAACCCUAAGUGUGACUCCUUAUUUUGGAAAAGGUGGUCUACGAAAAACCGAAUCGGGUUCGGGGGUCAGGUUACUUAUCGGGAAGGUACGGUAAAGACCGUAGCACCCCUCUAAGUCCCUAAAAAUGGGUCUCUACUAAUAAAAUGAAGCAAUCAUGACAAUUGAUUAAUCGAGCAUGGAUACCAAAUGAAUAUAACUCAAAACAAAAUAACUAAAUGAACAGAAGAGGCAAAGAAUGUCCCUGAAGUGAUGAACCAGUUUAGUUCAAGGGAAAACAAAUGUUAGCAAUCAAACACAAAAUAAUAGCAUGCAUGCCAUAGUGUGGAAUAAAUCAAUCAUGCAUAGCUAUCAACCAAUCAACCAAUCAAGGAAUUAGAAAAUCACAUAUGUCGAGCCCUACCAAAGCCCGAUUUAUUUUAGCACAAAUUGAUUUCAUGAAUUCCAUUAUUUGAAAUUAUGAAAUUUAUUUAUGCUUAUUUAAAAAAACAUUUAAAAAUUAAGGAAGGUGUGAAAAUUGCUUGCCGGGAAGAAAGUGGCAGCAAAAUUUUAAUGAAAAUGAAGAUCUUUGGUGAACUAAAGCUUUAAGAAAGAAUGAGGAGUUGUGGGAUUAAAAUUAUUUGAAAACAUGAUUUUUGAAAAUCAGUUUUUGAAGGCAAUGAGGAAGAGUAAGGAAUGAGAUGCAUGUGCUUUUGAGGUGGCCAUGCAGGACCUAUGAAGAAAGACACGUGGGAAUUGGAUGGACAAGUGCUGGAAGUGAGUACUGGGGGUUUAAUUGAAUGCAGAUUUAUAAUCUCAGCACCGACUCUGUCCUUUGCAAGAAUAUCAGCAGCCUUGAGUGCGAGGCCUCCCAUUCUUUUGAGAAGACUGUGAUAGUCACAUUCCUUCUUUCUCUCUCAGUCUUGGCUUUCCCUCUUCGGUGAAUAUGGGGACAGCAUUUUCGACCCAGAGCAAGAGUCAGACCAGGCUGUAUAACUCAGGGAGUGCUGGGCGCCAACUCUAACCGCAGCACCAUUUGGUUCUCAACAAAACGAUAGGUACGGAUAUCCCAUCAGCAGACAUGUAACUUGAUUUUUGCAGCAGAAUCAGGUUUGCUCCCCGCAACUAGGUGGGAGAUCUUCACCGAGGCAGGGGCUUGUUCAGCAACAGCCUCAUGUGUUCCAUGCUGAAUAGGAAGGUAGGGUUUUCCUUCCACAUGAAUCUCAUUUUGAAAUAUUGGCCGAAUCAGUUGCUGUUGAAUUUUGUUAUUGUACAUGAAGAUACAGUGUCUUCAUGCCAUGGAUGAUCAGAUAUGCGGCAUUCGGGUUGAGAAUACCACCCAGAACAUGAGGCAAAUUCCUAAUUGUUGAGACCAACUUUUCAGAACUACUAAUGCAACCUGCAAUUACAUCAUUGUGUCCUGCAAUAUAUUUUAUUGCAGAAUGCGGCACGAGAACAGCCCCAAGAGAAAGGAUCUUCUGGUUGAGAGGUGUUGCAAAUGUACUGUCUAUGCAGACUAGUGCUCCUUUCCUGUGCAGAACAUGCAUUAAUCUGAAGGGGAGACAUGUUUAUCAAGUUAUUCUUGUUCUCAUUACCAAUCUGCUGUCAAUCAUCAUCAAUGAUUAGGAACUUAGGAGGCGCGCCCCCCAUGUAGCCACUGCCAACAGCACCAUAUGGUGCAAUAAUAUAGCUGCUGCAUUCAAGAUCUGCAUCAACAACAUCAGUUUUGUGUCUUCGGAAAUGAAAAUCUGUUGGGCCGUUAUAAAGUUCUGGUACAAAGUCAUGAACAGAAUCCCAGUCACUGUUUAGAGCAUCCAAUCUGCUGGAAACCUUACAAUAUCUGCUCCAGAUGCAUAUCGACUAAGGAAAGUGUCUUUAGUCCCCUCAAAAACUCAACAUCAUCAGACAUGCAGCUUGUCUUGGCAAUGCGUUUAAUCGCAAUAACUGACCCACAUCUUCUAAGUUGAACAUAACACUCUCAAACUUUUAUCAGUGCCAUUCAGAGACAAUGAAAGAGGAGCAAAGAGAGGAUCACUUGCCAUUGAAAUGGAGGGAAGAACUAUGUUGGACAUUAGUGACAUGACUGGUACCAAAAGCACCAUUUACUCAUUCCAUUGAAUUCUGUGCGUGCAAACUAUCAGAAGACUUACCAACAAUAAAAUCUGCCCAUUUUUAAAGGUGCCAUAUUGAUCAAACCUGGAAGGUGCCUUCUGGAGACUCAUACGAGAAUGCUCAGCUGUAGAAGAAACUGAAUCAUUGUCACAGGAGUCAUAUAGAAGAUUAUCAUCAUCACAAGUCCCGAGGCCUUUUGUCCCAAAAUGGCGUAACUUGGUAGUUGGUGAAUGCACAAGGCUUGUUGGCUGGUCUACACUGGAUGAGUCUCUAUUAUAUGGUUAACAGUAUGUGUCAAAUAUAUCAGUCAUGAGCACGUUUUGAAGGUCCAGCUGAGUAUUGUCUACCAUCUAUGACUUCAUCACCGUCACGAUCAAUGACAGUUUCUUCAAUGCUAUCAGCUUACCGUAUCCUUAAGUGUGGCCUAUCAUCUGAGCUGGCACCUAUUUCCUAACUCCACUUACAAGGACUUGGGCCCCAUGGUUCACAUGACGUUGCACGAUCACCAACCUCACUACCAGAAGGCUGCCCUAUCAUUAGAUUCCUUCCCAUAUCAGCAUCAUGCAUAUUUUCAGACAUUGCUGUCCAGUUUAAGUGGAAUAAUUGGGGGAACCCUUCCUCUAUCAGAAUUCAUUGGUUCGGCAUCAGAAUGACAUUUACCACCUGGAACAUGCACGGAUGGUAACAAUGGAGAUGCUUUAUUUGUUGCAUUCUCUGCUUUUGCAUUGGAAGUUUCAACUCCUCUAGCACGGGUACAGGAUGACCUCUUAGGAGCUAAAGAUAUAUUAAAUUCCACAAGCUUUCCUUCAGAAGGCUGACCCAAAGGUGUAUCUGAACCUUAUUUGGCAUGACUAACAAGCUGUCACUUUCACACAUAUUCUAAGCAUCUUCCCAGAGGCUUAACAAAAAUGGGAUCCUCAGGUUUACAGAGGAGGGAAGAGAAACCCGGCUUAGCAUUCAGAAAAGUUUGUUGCUGUCGACAUCUUCACCAUCCCGAGUCCUUGGGACUGUCGGUGCAAGUGUGGAACUACCAGAAGAGUUGUUACUCAGACCUAGAAUUCUCAACCGUAUGAAGAGUGACCCUCAUGAAACUUUCUCAGAAUCACCCCCAAAUAGGAUGGCCAACCCAAAUGAGAUCCUCACACCCCGGACUUACCAGAAACAGGGAAAUGAACAAAAGAAGAUGGAAGCAAGGCAAGGACUGAAGAAAUAGCCCAAGGAAAAUCAAGUAAAUCAUGAACGUAUAGAGCCUCAUUUCAAGUGACAUCCAUGGGCCAAUGCAGGUGGAAUCCAAAGGAAGCAAGAGUGUUUUUUUAAAAUCAAAUUCAGUGAUGAGUACAUAUUCAAAUCAUUCAUAAAACAGAGGAAUGCUCAAGUUGUUCAUAGACAUAUCCAAAAGAGCCAGACUAGAAUCAGGCAAAAAAAAUGCAUAAAAAUGGUCUUAGAUUCCACAAACAUAAAUAGUAUCUGAUGUCCACAUUCAAGCAUCCAAAUGAACCCAAAAUCAGCAAGAAACAGGAUAGAACAGUCUGAAACGGGAAAUGUAAAGCGUGCUGAAAUCAUACUUGGACCAAAACCACAAGCUCCUCCUCUGCUCAGCUAGAAACGCCUCUUUCUCCUUUCUCACUCUCUUUGGAACCCCAGGAACCUGUAAACUUCUUUUAUGUCUCAAGCAACCUACGCUCCUUUCAUCACCGUCUGCUCCUCUCUCUCUCAAAGAAUACCUCCAUUUUCUUUCCACAGCUUUAACUCUCUCUAUCUUUCUCAUUCUCCUCUGUCUAGACCCCCCUCUCUCAAGAAAGAAAAUCCCCCCUCCAAAAAAAUGUCACCCUGCCAGUAACGAAUAAAAAAACCUCACCCUACGCACCUCCUCGUCUUUGUCCCUUACUUUUUCCUCCACCCCUCCGUAGCCAAAAGCACCACGCCUUUUUGCCAGAAUCCUCUCCCUCUCUCAUACGCUCCUCCAGAACAGAAACGUGCUCCUCUCCUGAAGAUUCGUCCUAGGUGUCGCUCCUUGAUAGCUCCUCAAAAAGCACUAUCUGAUUCCAUAGCAGCCAACUAAAAGACACCAUGUGGUCUCCUAGGGUCGCGACACUUGGCAAAACAAGCUGCAUGAAAGUGAGGCCCAAAUGGGGGUCUACAGUGACAUAUUUGCUGAAUCAUUCCCAGUAGAGCUGGUGGAGGCUUGGUGGAGAACAAAACUAGUUGGAGAGAAGGACGGAGGGGGCGGUUGUUGGCGAAAAAGCUGGAGAGGGGAUUCAGAAAGGAUGAACGAGCUGGAGUGGUGAAGACCGGAACUGGAGGGAGGGAUGUUGGCAGAUUUUGGAAGAAACUAUGGGAUUGAGUGCUUGAAACCAAGCAAUCCUUGCAGGAGGAUGACUGUGGGACGGCAGGACCGACCCCAUUAUCUUCCCCAUCGACCAAUAGACAAUUGAGGUAUUUAUGUAUUGUUUGUUUCUUUGUUAUAUGUUUGCUCUUUAAUAUGGAUAAUUGAUUUAGUGUACCAAGAUAGGGUUUUGUUUCUGACAUGAAAGAAUGAAUGUUCGCAACUGAAUCAGGACAGAAUUGUUACAUCAGAUGCUUUGUUUAUAAAUAGUUUAGGUGUUCAGUUUUGUAGGGAGAAUAACAUCAUAGAUUCAUAGAUUCACCUUAUUGAGUGCACUUGACAAUUAAGUUCUCUGUUCUCUUUUUCUUUCCUCGACUGGCAUCAGAAAACACACAAAGUUUCAUUGUUUUCUUUUGCUUCCAAAAAAUAAAAAUUUCCGUUGCGAGAAAAUGGAACCAGAAACCAGACGGUAGAAUCAAGAAAAUAGUGCUAGAGAUCCUCAAAAUUAAGCGCGGACAUGGACGAGAUGACCGAGUUCAUAGAUUCGAAAAAUAGUUUCCCAAAAAAAAACUCGGAAUCAACCUCUUCGUGCCGGACUAACUACAAGCGCUUCGUCCGCUAGGUCGUCGAGACCUUCCUCCAGUCCACCGAAGAUCUUAGAUGAGAACCGGAACCAAAACUGGAACCUGAUCGAAAGAAGGCGAACACCGAAGCAACUGAACGGGAACCGAAAGAAUAGAGGGCGGUCGGUGGAUUCAUUCGGGAAACAACGCAGAUCAGAGCCAGAUAGUGCAGUCCAGAAAUCGAUGGGCGGUCAUGGUGGUUCCACAGUCCAUACCCAUAAGAAAUUGUUGGAAGAUGGCAAGAUAUGACUUGUAUCCACCAGCCAGCUGCAUGUCCAAUAGAAUGACUUAGUGGAUCACUCAUGCAUCACCUUGGAUAGGGACAUGUAUCUUAUGGCCCAUGUCCACCAGCCCGUCCCUCCAUUUUCAACCAUUGGACAUGAUGGUCAGCUAUAUGGGCCUCAGCACCACCAGUGUCCAGCCCAUUGCUUUCCACUACCUACAACCAGCAUCCCGGGCCUCAUUUUGCUUGGCCACCUUUGGUCUGCAAUCCCAACUGUCACACCUCAUUUAUUUAUUCAUUUUCUUUUAUUAUUUCUUUGUGUUCUGAUAUCCAAGUUUAAUCUUUUCAAAAUUUCAAUUUUCACAUUUAUUUAUUUAAUCAUUAUUAUUUUCGCUAUAAUUAUUAUUCUAUUUAUUUAUUUAAAAAAAAUUCAUCUUUAAAUAAAUCUUCAAAAUUCCGAUUUCCAAAUUUAAUUUCUAAUUUCCAAAAUUCUAAUUUUCAUAUUUGUUUAUUUAAUCAUUAUUAUUUUCGUUAUUAUUAUUGUAUUUAUAUAUUUUUUAAAAUUUUCAUCUUUAAAUAAUUCUUCAAAUUUUCCAAAUUUAAUUUCCAAUUUCCAAAAUUCCAAUUUUAACAUUUAUUUAUUUAAUCAUUAUUAUUUUUGUUAUUAUUAUUAUUCUAUUUAUUUAUUUUCAAAAUUUUCAUCUUUAAAUAACUCUUCAAAAUUCCGAUUUCCAAAUUUAAUCCCCAAUUUCUAAAAUUCCAAUUUUCACAUUUAUUUAUUUAAUCAUUGUUAUUUUUGUUAUUAUUAUUACUCUAUUUAUUUAUUUUUAAAAUUUCAUCAUAGUUUUUCAAAAUUCCAAUUUUCACCUUUAUUUAUUUAAUCAUUAUUAUUUUCAUUAUAAUUAUUAUUCCAUUUAUUUAUUUAAAAAAAUUCCAUCUUUAAAUAAAAAAUCAAAAUUCCUAUUUCUAAAUUUAAUUUCCAAUUUCCAAAAUUCCAAUUUUUACAUUUAUUUAUUUAAUCAUUAUUAUUUUCGUUAUUAUUAUUAUUAUUUUUAUUUAUUUUUAAAAUUUCAUCUUUAAAUAAUUCUUCAAAAUUCUGAUUUCCAAAUUUAAUUUCCAAUUUCCAAAAUUCCAAUUUUAACAUUUAUUUAUUUAAUCAUUAUUAUUUUCGUUUUUAUUAUUAUUCUAUUUAUUUAUUUUCAAAAAUUCCAUCUUUAAAUAACUCUUCAAAAUUCCAAUUUCCAAAUUUAAUCCCCAAUUUCUAAAAUUCCAAUUUUCACAUUUAUCUAUUUAAUCAUUGUUAUUUUUGUUAUUAUUAUUAUUCUAUUUAUUUAUUUAUUUAUUUUUAAAAUUUCAUCUUUAAAUAAUUUUUCAAAAUUCCAAUUUUCACCUUUAUUUAUUUAAUCAUUAUUAUUUUCUUUAUAAUUAUUAUUCUAUUUAUUUAUUUUUAAAAAAUUCAUCUUUAAAUAAAUAUUCAAAAUUCCUAUUUCCAAAUUUAAUUUCCAAUUUCCAAAAUUCCAACUUUCACAUUUAUUUAUUUAAUCAUUAUUAUUUUAUUUAUUUAUUUAUUUUUAAAAUUUCAUCUUUAAAUAAUUCUUCAAAAUUCCAAUUUCUAAAUUUAAUCCCCAAUUUCUGAAAUUCCAAUUUUCCAAUUUUCGAAUUUAAUUUCCAAAAUUCCAAUCUUCACAUUUAUUUAUUAUUAUUAUCAUUAUCAUUAUUAUUAUUAUUAUUAUUAUUUUAUUUAUUUAUUUUUAAAAAUUCCAUCUUCAAACAAUUUCCAAGGUUCCAAUUUUCAUAAUUUAAUUUUCAUAGUUCCAAUUCUCAAAUAAUUUUCCAAAGUUCCGAUCCUUAAAUUUAAUUUUCGAAAUCCCAAUUCUUAAAUCUAAUUUUCAAAACUUCAAUUUUCAAAUGAUUUUCAAAGCUCCAAUUUAUUAAAUUCGACUUUUCAAAAUUCCAAUUUUCAAAUAAUUUUCGAGACUUCAAUUUUCGAAUAAAUUUUAAAAAUUCAGUUUUCUUUCGAACAGUUUUAAUUCCACUCCAGUUUUCAGAUAUUUCUUAAUUCUACCACUUUUCAUCCUUUAUUAGAGCUUUUAGACCGCCAAAAAUCUUGAUUUUAAUAAUCCUGCUGCCUUUCUCAUUUUGGUAUGCACUUGUACAAAUUUUCUUCGAUUCUCAAAUAAUUUUAUGUUUCUCUUGAUUUUAAAUGAGCAAUAAUGAUUUUUUUCAUAAUUCCAAAAUAAUGGAAUUUGUGAGACUAAUUCAUGCAAGAUCAAUUGGGCUUUGGUGGGGGUCCUACAUAUGAGUUUUCUCUUUUGAUUAUCAAUUGUCAUGCUUAAUGAGGAUUGUUUGAUCUUUGUCCUGAUCUUUGAUAUGCAUGUGAUAAUUUUAUACUUGAGCUAACCUUGUUUCCGUAAUAGCGCACUAUUACUUGCUGCUAAGGUACGAUCUCACUUCCACUUUGCUUAUUCUUAUGCAUGAUUUGCUUUAUUAUUUGAUUAUUUCAUUGGUAUCCAUUGAUUUCCUUAUCAAUUGUCACACUUGUCUCACCUUAUUUAGUAGAGACCUUAUUAUAGGGCUUAGAGGGAUGCUAUGACUCACCACCGUACCUUUCCAAUAGGUAACCUGACCCUCGGACUCGAUUUUGGUUUUCCACAUACUGUCUUUUCCAAAUAAGGAGUCACACUUAGGGUUUUCUUUCUUAUUUUGUUUUCCCUUUAAAAAUAAAAUAAAAAUAAGUGGUGACUCCAAGUCUUUUUCUAAAAAAAAAAAAAUCAUUUUUUCACAAAUAAAUUAAAAGCGAGUCACGUCGUUGAGUGGGAACGCACGUGAAAAAUGCGGGAUCCACAACCAUCUAUAAAGUUUCUUCUUCAUUCUUGAAUUAUUUAAAAAUAAAUACCACAAAUGAAAUUUAUGAAUUAGGACCUACAAAUAUUAAAUGAAAUUGAUAAUUAUUAAAAAAAGAAGUUUUUUUCCUUAAUAUUUGUCUUUCUACCACCAUUAGGAUAAUAACAUUAAAGAGGAAUUGUAAUUAUGCCUCAUUCACUACUAUUGUCAAAUUCAAAACUCUCCAAUAAAUAUUGGUAGUUUGAAGUCUCUCAAAGUCAUAUUUAAUUUAACUUUUUGAUCUAUUUUCCCAUUUGUUCGAUCAAAACCUUAAAUUAAAAUUUCCAUUUUUUGCUAUUCCUUUCACCGGUUUCAAUAUAGUUGCCAUGGCUCCUUUCCCCUUUGAGGAAUCCAACCCAAUAUCCCAUAUGAAGGCAAACUUCUUGACCUAUUGGGCAAUUUAAUAUAUAGUUUAUUCCUUCCUCCUAAAUUUUAACUUAAAUUUAAUUAAUUUUUUUUUUCAUAUUCUGUUUAAUAUAUUAUUAAAAAUAUAAAAAUAUCAUAAUAAUUUCAUCAAUGAGUCUUUCUUUAUUAAAAAUAAAAAAUAAACCGGGAUAUAAAAUUGUUAACAUUUUUAAACAUAGAAAUAUAUACAUAUANNNNNNNNNNNNNNNNNNNNNNNNNNNNNNNNNNNNNNNNNNNNNNNNNNNNNNNNNNNNNNNNNNNNNNNNNNNNNNNNNNNNNNNNNNNNNNNNNNNNACAUAGAAAUAUAUACAUAUAUCAUUAUUUCUUUUACAUCUUAAAUAAAGAUCAUCAUUUCAAACAUAUGUUUGAUGACUAAAUAAAAUAAAAUUUUAAUAAAUAAAUUAAUUUUAAUUAUCUUAUCAUUAAAUUUCAUUUUACUUAUUGUGAAAAAUGUAAAAACCAUCAUAAUGAUAUUUUCAAAAUGAUCACUUUAUGUUUUUAGUAUGGUAUUUAGAUAUUAAAUAUAUAACAUAAAAUUUAAAAAUAAAUUAAAAAAUAAUUAUACAUAUAUCAUUAGUUAUUUUAUAUCCUAAAAUACAUCCAAACUACAAAGAAUAUUAUUUUCAUAAUAAAUGUGGUUAAUGAAUUUAUUUAAGAAUCUGACAAAGUUUUAUCAUACAUAAAUAGUUUUCUUUAAUAUAAUUACUUCAAUAUGUAUUAUUGAAGUUAUGAUAUUAUUUUUUAAAAAAAGUUUUUUCUAAUAUUUUUUCAAUUAAAUAUGCAAGAAAAACAUCUAUAAUAACUAGAAAAAGAUAGUAUAGUAAAAUUAAUUCAUACUCAUUUUUAUUGUAUAUAAAAAAUAAUAUUUUGGUAGAAAAAAGUUUUAUAUAUCUAUACAUGAGGAGUUAGUAGCUACCCAUGAUAAAAGUGGUCUCAAUCACAUUCUCCUUUUAACACUAUUUCUUUAUUUUUUUCAUUAUCAUUUUCAUUCAAUCAUACGGGUUUUGUGUAAACAUUUAUUUCAAUGCUUUUGUUUCUCUAUGUUCUAAUACUUAUAUUAACUCAUAUAUAUCUUUCUCUUCCUCCAAUCUAAAACUACAAAAAAUAAUGCUAAAUAAUAAUGUUUAAGUCAAAGCAUUUUACUUUGGUGAAAGAAUAUAUAGUAUAAAUAUCUUUGAAUUUGCAAAAUAAUUAUAUAAUGAACCACUAAAUUUAUCCACAAAAUAAACUUGCAAAAUGUUGCAAGUUAAAUUAUAUUUUUUUUAAUCAAAAUUGGAUUGAAAAAGAAUUUUAUGAAUAUUUUAAAAUUCACAACUUUCUACUUUAAUAUCGUCCAAGUCACAGGUGGUGGGAAUAGUUAAAAACAGAGUGGCGAAUGAGUGUCUAAUACUUAAGAAUUUGUCCAAUAGUUCAGAUCAAAGACUACAACAAAAAGCGAAACGCACGUUAAUUAAGAACGUCAAAGAAAAGGAUUUCAAAUAGUGUUUCACUUAAUAAUAUGAAAGCAAUUAUUUUAAAAGAAAAAUAAAAAAAAAUGAAUGACUUCUUGUACAACUACUCUUUGCAAAUAUAUAAAAUUUGUCUAAUAAUUUAUACCAAAUAUUACAACAAAAGGUGAAAUGGAAGUCAAGAGUGUAAGAGAAAAAGAUUUCAAAUAGUGCGUCAUUCAAUAAUAUGAAAGUAAUUAUUUUAAAAGGAAAAAAAAGUGAAUGAAAGUAAUUAUUUUAAAAGAAAAAUAAAAUAUACGAAUGUACAACCACUCUUUACAUAUAUAUCUAUAUAUAUUUACUUUUGUAUUAUGCAGAAAUCAUUGUCAGCAUUGUGGGCAUCCCCGUAAAUGGGGAUAACGGGCCUACCCAAAGAACUAUUCGUUGAGUUGGGCCAGUUUGGGCCAUGAUUAAAAGCCCAUCUAGCCUAAUGGCCUAGUUGACUUAAAUAGCCCAAUAGGUAAAGUGGGAAAUAGAACGUGGGAGAACAGUCCACAAGGAGUAGUGGAGGUAGUUAAUGCUUGGGGCGGUAACCGCUUGAAGUGGCUAAAAAGUGGCCCCACGAUCUCCAUGCUUAUUGGUAGCUGAAAGGUAUAUGAAUACAAUUGGAAAGUCCAAAAAUAAAAAUAAAAAUUGUAGCAUGAGAAACAUUACAUUUUCUAGAAAACCCCAACUAACUUAAUCAUCAGAUGAGGUGAUCCUAGGGUAAAACUUAGUGAGCCUUAUGUGGUAGGUAUAAGGAAGCGCACGACAAGGAGAUGACUAUUGCUCAAGAAAUUCUCAGCUCCAACAAGUGGCGCUGUCUAUGGGAAAAUUCUACAUUAAUGUAACAUUUUUACUUGGAGCUGAAAAGUAUACCAUUUUUGUUUGGAGUUGGAAGCUUCACAAUGGGAGAUAGUCAACUGCGGGAUUCAAUUAGUACAAUUGCUCCUCGAAGGGCCGUGACACUAGAGUUUAUUCUUGAGGGUUUCGAAAUGCGCCAAGUAGAGCAGGAGAGAAGAAUUGAAUCCAUCAUUGCCUAGACAAAGUUUCUAAGGCAAGAGAAUGCCUUGUCGCAGACACAACUCAAAGAUCAGCGUGCUCGCAUUCAAACAUUGUAUUAGUCAACAAGUAAUCUUGAUCACUUAUGCCAUCAGGACAAUAAUGACAUGGUGGAACCUUUAGAUCAUGUAGUUCAUUUUGGUCAAGUUCCCCACAUCAUUUUAAGUUUUCAUGGAGGAUGUCGCCCAUUUGACCUCAAGAUUCCAAGAAGUCUAGUCAUUGAAGGCAUAGAUGAGGCGAACAACACUCCCGGUAGGGACCCAAGCCCCUAGUGUAUUCAAAUCCUUGUAGCCAACAACAAAUGAGGUUGCCCCAUGUGGAGGCUGUAGGAAGGCUGACUCAGCCCCUAUCUUCGGUAGCUUGGCUCCCACAUGGGUGAUCAAAUGAGUUGUCUCUAGGAGCCACAACUCGCCACCUGAAUGAUAUGAUGAUAACACCAUUCGCCCAACAUGUUUUGAUGUAUGAACCCCUAAGAGGAUAUACCAUUCCUAAGCUCUUUAUGUAUGACGGAACAUAUGACCUCUUCGAUCAUCUGAUGCGUUAUCGACAAAUGAUGAUGCUUGAUAUCGAUAAUGAUGAGUUUCUAUGCAAAGUCUUCUCGGCUAGUCUCUAAGGAACUACCCUAGCCUGGUUCCACCGAUAUCUCCCUAAUUCCGUUCACUCCUUUAGGGAGAUGUCAGAAGUCUUUGUAGCUCAUAUUUGUGCUCAACAAGGUAGAAGUUCAAUAUCAACAGCCUUCAAAAUCCGAAGAAGAUAGAAAGUGAGACUUUACGCCAAUUCAUGCACAUGUUUGACCAAGCAAUGCUCCAAGUAGAAACAUGCAGUAUGGAUGCUUUGCUAUAAGCCUUCAAGCCUAGCAUUGGGUCAAGGACCCCAUUUUUUGAAUCUCUCUCCAAGAAGCCAUCAAAGAUGAUUGAUGAAUUGUUUAGAAGAGUUAACAAGUAUGCUAUGUUGGAAGAGGACUUGUAGGCUGCAACAAGUCCCGUCUUAGUAUCAACGCAAGUGGCACAGGCAAAAAAGAUACAGGGAAUAAACGCCAGGGCUCGGGGAACCCUUCAUAGGGCAAAAAGCCGCGUAGGGGUGAUGAGGGCCAAAGACCACCCCGACAAUGAGGGACAAAGACCACCCCGACAAUGAACCUCACUCAAUCUUACCUAUAGAUAGUUACUUCUAAUUAUGACCGACUUACUCGGCUUUAGGUGGCCCUUCGCUUUUAGGGAUGAACCGACAUAACAAGACCAAACGCAGCAUUGCGAAUACCAUAAAGAGUAUGGGAACACCAUUGAUGAGUGUCGACACCUCCAUUAUCUAGUGAAAGACAUGGUAAGAGCUAGUUUGCUCUCUCAGUAUGUCAAGAAGAGCGAACAGUCGGCUACUGGGAGUAUUGAGCAAGUUGCGACCAACAUGAUCCUGUCAAGGGGAGCACCGCUAGUUAUUCAUGUCAUUCAAGGAGGACCUAUUGAUCAACAUUGGGAAUCAAAGUGUCGUCAUCGAGCAAUGAUUCAAGAAUCUAGUGACGUGGAGAAGAUCGGUACGGAGCACUACUCCUUUGUAUUAGGGACAAUGGAACCUGUAAAUGGGGCUAUCACAUUUAACACUCGAGAUCUUGCAUGAAUAACAGUUCCGCAUGAAGAUGCCCUUGUUCUAUCACUAAAAAUUGUUGGGUUCCAAGUCUGCCAAGUACUUGUUGACCGAGGUAGUUCAAUUAACUCGUUCCACAUCUCGGCUUAUAAGCAAAUGGGUGUCCCCAUCUCCACUUUAGGAAACCCGAGUUGAGUAAUAACAGGUUUUAAUAGAUCAACAACCUGGACUUUGGGAGAAAUAAUUUUGUUGGUUGAAGUCGUCCUACAACCCUAAAUGUUCGUUUUUAAGUCAUGUCAGAACCUUUAUCGUACAAUUCCAUAUUAGGACGAGUGUGGAUUCAAAAAAUGAAGGUUACCCCUCUCAAUUUAUCACCAAAAAUUCAACUUUCUUACUAAAACGGGCUAAGUAGACUUAUUUGGGAGUCAACUAACUGUUAGGUAGUGUUACCAGGUAAAUGUCUUGCCUACGGAAGAGGAAGUUGAAAAUGCUCAUGUUGACAGCGAGUCCCAAUAGAAAUAAUAAUUAUUGAAGGACAAAGGUGACCGAGAAUCCCCAAUCAUUGACCUAUUGGUUUGUGUAGAAAUACAGAAAGAAUGAUCAGAGAAGGUUACAUACGUUAAUGCUAUGUUCAUAGAGCAAGAAAAACAUCAACUAGUAAGCCAACUGAAUCUGAACGUCGGAGUCUUUGCUUGGGAAUUAUCUGACAUGCCAAGAAUAUCCCCCAAAGUGAUGAGUCAUAAACUUGGGAUCCGCCCAGGAUCGAAACCUGUUCGACAAAAAGUAAAAAGGCUUAAUUCAUAGAGGCAGUAGAUAAUUGAGCUUGAAGUAUCCCUAUUGCUCGAUGCAUGAUUCAUUCGUGAGGUCUACUACCCAGACUGGCUAGCUAAUGUGAUAGUUGUGCCAAAAAAAUGAGGUAAAUGGAGGGUUUGCAUAGACUUUACUAACUUGAAUGAGGCAUGCCCAAAGGAUAGUUUCUCAUUGCCACACAUUCAUCAAAUUGUUGAUGUUACUUUGGGGCAUAAGAUGUUAUCUUUUAUGGAUGAUUUUUCUGGCUAUAACCAGAUUCCUACGUACCCUUCUGGUACUGAAAAGACAUCAUUCAUAACCCCAUUUGGGACUUUCUGUUAUAAUGUAAUGUUUUUUAGCCUUAAGAAUGCAGGGGCCACUUAUCAACAACUAAUGAAAAAAAUAUUUUAUUCAAUGCAAAGCAAAACGACAAAGGUUUAUAUAGAUGACAUACUUAUAAAAAACAGGAAACAAGAUAAUCACUAUACAGACUUGCAGUAAGCUUUUGACUUGCUAUAGCAUUUUGAGAUGAAAUUGAAUCCUACUAAAUGUGCCUUUGGGGUGUUUUCCGGCAAGUUCUUUGGUUUUCUAGUCAUAGAGCAAAGAAUUGAAAUAGAUCCUGCCCAAAUAAAGACAAUACAAAAGCUACCAUCUCCUCAAAGUAAAAAAUGAUGUGCAAUAUUUAAUAGAAAGGGUGGCUACAAUAGCCCGUUUUAUUUCUCGGUACAUUGACCGUCUAAAGCAUUUCUUUAAUGUGAUAAAAAAAAAAAAAAAGCUAAGGCCUUUGAGUGGACCGUUGAGUGCAAGGAAGCGUUUAUAGCCAUAAAAAACUAUUUGGUCUCACCCUCAAUUUUAAAAAGUCCUCAACUGGGAGAUCCCUUGUACAUGUACCUUGCAGUAUCAAAGUUGGUAAUCAAUGCAAUUUUGCUUAAGCAGGGCCCUAAUGGGAGCCAGUUACCAAUUUACUAUGUUAGUAAGGAAUUGAUGUCAAUUGAGUAGAAUUAAACCAUGCCAAAAAAAGUGGCAUUGGCACUACGAAUGGCAUCAAAGAAGUUGGGCCCUUAUUUUCAGGCACACCAAGUCAAUGUCUUGAUCGAUGUUCUUUUUCGAGCUACAUUGCACGGGCCUGAGUUGUAGAUUGCUUUGACCAGAAGAUGGGAGAGUGGUGGAUUCUCUAUGUUGAUAUAGUGCCUCGCGAUGCAGGUACAGGGGUAGGGCUCGUCCUGCAAUCCCCCAUAAGAGAAUAUUUGGAGCAGGUAGUCUGAUUGGGCUUCCACGCUUCAAACAAUGAGGCUGAGUAUGGAGCUCUGCCUGUUGAAGUAAGCUUGGCACUGUUAGUCUAGGCUAUCCACCUCGAUAUACGGAGUGACUCACAACUAGUGGUGAAUUAGGUGCAAGGAGAGUAUGAAACAAGGGAUGAAAGAAUGAUAAAGUACCUCCAGAGAGUGAAAAACCAGCUUCACAAAUUUAGCAAGUGGAAGGUGACUCAGAUCACUAGGGAAGAGAAUGUCUGAGUAGAUGCAUUAGCUAGAUUAGCAACUUCCUUAGCUAUGACACAAACAACUAUUCUACCGGUUUAUUACCAAGAUGACCCAUCAAUCCUAGAAAGAGAACAAGUGAAUCAAGUUUAUGACAUCCAUGGAAGUUGGAUGGAACCGAUCAUCAAGUAUCUGGAGAUAGGGGAGCUACCAAAAAAUGAACUUUAGGCACAUUGAAUCAAGAUUAAGUUCGCAUGAUAUAGCAUGAUCGGGGGUCGAUUAUAUAGAAGGUCUUACAGAGGACCAUAUUUAAGGUACUUGGAACCAGAAGACGCGAAGUAUGUCAUUUCAUAAUCGCAUGAAGGAAUAUGCGAAAAACACCCGGGUGGCCAGACAUUUGCUCAUCGAGUUUACACAUAAGGGUACCACUAGCCCACCAUUCAUAAGGACUCCCAGGAGUUAGUGUAGAUGUGUGACAAUUGUCAACAGUAUGCACACAUCCUCUGGCUACCAUCGGAGUCCCUCACUCCUUUGGUUUGGCCUUAGCCUUUUGCCGAAUGGGGAAUAGAUAUAAUGGGUCAUUUCCCAGUAGUCCCUGCCCAAAAUAAAUUUUUGUUGGUAGCAAUUGACUACUUUACAAAGUGGGUUGAGGUAGAGACUUUCGCAACAAUAAAAGAUAAGGACGUAACAAGAUUUUUAUGGAAGAGCAUCAUCUUUCGUUUUGGAAUACCACGAGUGAUAAUCUCAUAUAAUGGGCCAUAUUUUGAUAGCUCCAAUUACAAAAAAAUUUGUGCUGAGUUAGGGAUCAGGAACUUGUAUUCCUCACCACGCUACCCACAAGCUAACAGGCAAGCGGAAGCAACGAAUAAGUCUCUUCUUGAUAUGUUGAAGAAAAGACUUCAAGGAGUCGGUAGGUGGAAGAGUUGUUUGGAGUAUUAUGGACACAUCGAACCAUGCGAUGGUGCCCAACUAGGGAGACUCCUUUCUCCCUAGCUUAUGGCAUGGAAGUUGUCAUCCCAUCUGAAGUGGGAAUGCCAACAUUGCAAACGACCCAAGAACCAACAGGAAACCAAGAGAUUGAAGGUAGUCUAGAUUAGGCCAAUGAAUUGAAGAAGACAACUCUGAUUCGAAUUGAAGCUUAUCGCCAUCAAGCUAUGGCAUAUUACAACAAGCAAUCAAAACCACAACAACUGCAAGUCGGGGACUUAGUCUUGAAAAAAAUGUUUGAGAAUAUGGCAGUUCCUAGGCUUGGCAAAUUGCAAGCCAACUAGGAAGGUCCCUAUCGUGUAAUAAAAAUAAGACAUGGGGGAGCCUACUUCCUAGAAAAAUUAACCAAGGAACAUUUACCUCGUCCCUAGAACAUUUAAAAGCUGAAAAAUGUAUUUUUCUUGAAUAAAAAUCUUUUGAUUAAGUAAAUAAUGCAAACAUGCUAGCAAAAUGCAUUAAAGGAUAAAUGCAAUAUUAUGGAAAAACUCGAACAAAGUAAUGGCAAAAAGCAAUUGAUAAAAAUGAAAAGCUUCAAAGACUCCUUGAACAAAGUAGGGGCAAAAGAAGCAGAACACAAAGGCCUAUUGUCAGGGAAAAACCCUACAAACUUUAAAAAGAAAGAGACAAAAAAAAAAAAAAAACUAUAAAACCUGCCAAAUGUCAAAAAACCAGUGUAAUUGUUAAUUUUUUCCAAAAAAAAAAAAAAUGACUUCAGUUCAUUCUUUUAGGUCUUCAAUGUGUGCAAUGGGAUCUAAGUCGGCCAACAAGAAUUCUAGUUCUUCAGUCCUUUCUAAGGCAUUCCCUUGGUCAUCCAGAUUACCUAUCUGUUGAGCAGAGGAAAGCGCAUUGCCAGUGUAAGGUAGAAGAGAAACUUCAUCUGAGCAAGUGGCGAUACCUUUUUGCAAAGAAGCACCCAACGGGUCUGACAUCCCAACAAGGUCGGUUUCGUCCUCGUUUGUAGCAACUAGCCUCACUCUCUUGUCGGCCCUACUAGCACCCAGUGGAGAAGUUUCAAGAGUAGAACUUUCAUCUUCAGUUACAAAGUCCUCAUCGAUAUCAAAGUCUUCAAUGAUAGCAUGUUUUUGCUUGCAACACCGAUACGCAUACUAAUACAUUUUUUCUACCUGCUCGAUGUAUUUGGUAGUGAACUUUGCAUGUUGAGCUUUCAGUGUGGAUUGGGACUGGUUAAUUUGAAGAUGGAGUUGUCUAUCUCCUCUACCUUUCUUCUUUGAUCCUCUUUCAAGUCCACACACUCGGUCUAAAAAGUUUGGAUUAAAGCCUAAAGGAUUUUAUUAGAGUUCUCAAGUUCAUCCAUGCGCAAUUUAGCUAAAGCCAAUUCCAUCUCAAGGUUCUCCUACUUGGCCAUGGACUCAGCAACGUACUGUCUAAGUUUACUAGCAGCCUCCAACUUCUCGUUAGCAUAUUGAAGUUGGUGUUUUAAGUCUCUAACAACGACAACCCCUUGGUACAUAAAUGUGAAAGCGUUAAAUGUAUUAAAGAAUUUUAAGGAUGAGUAUCAAAAGUGUGCUCAGUUCGUUGUAGUACCAUUUCAGUAAUCUGAUCUUCAUCUAGUCCUCGAAUAGCAGAUAUCAUCUGAACAACCCGGACAGGAGCCCCAAUGGGAACAUUUGCAAUAAAAUUAAAGUUUGGCUAACUAAGAACUUCCGCAUGAUCUACUUAGUAGCAAGGAAAAUAACACCUAUAUAUGAUAAAGGAUGAUCAGUAGUGGUAAAUAAGGAAUAUUGGUUUAGGAUUUCUCCUACCUCCUCAAUUAAAAUGAAACCAAUCUUGUGUGGGUGUAAACUCACCCUUGGGUGCAGGCCAGGAACAAUAAUCUUGCCAUGAGGGGCCACUUGUGGAGUAGUAUUCGGUAAAGCCCUUUGUAUAGCCGACACCUUUUGAAUCAUACCAAAAGCUGGUUGGGUGGUCUUCAACGGGCCGGUCUCUAGUCUUUUUUCUCUUUCUUCUCUUUCUAACCCGACUAAAGAUGUCAACGGCCUCACCUUCUGUGUCAUCCAUGUCCUCCGCAAUCAAAGGAGCUGACUCGUUCUGUUCAAUAGAAUCACCGUUUGGUACCAGUAGCGAAAAGUCUGUUGGGGCAAUAAUAGCUGAGCCCCGGGAGAAAAGAGUGUGCUCAAGCAAAGAGAAUGGAAUUGUCACAGAGAGACCAAGUUGGGUAGUUUGUCGAGUAGUUGUUGGUGACAAGUUGCUCUCUCUCCCUAACAACUUCUAUGCUAGUAUCAAAAGAGCCAAAAUGUUUGUCUAUUUUAAAGUCUUUUGGAAUAAAAUGCACCUCAGGGAUUAGGUCGCUAUGAGCAAUCCUUGAAAAAAAUUGAGGGAUGAAAGGGUCUAGGUUCUAGAGCACACUUUGAAGAUUGGUCUCCGUAAAUAAAAGAGAAAAACUUAUUUACUUGAAAUCAAUGUUGAAUAGCUUGGUAAGCCAUUUCUGGGAAGGUUUUUCACCCAUUAUAUUAGGUGUCCUUGAUAGUUUUCAAUUGUCCGGAAGCAAGAUUAAAUAGAUAUUAAAAAUAAAUGGUAUUAGUUACUAGGCCGUUUAAGGGUAUGAUUCAAGGGGUAAGGACCACGAAGAUCUAGAGUUGAAAAUUCCCAUUCUCCAUAAACAAUCACGCGUCUGAUGGCCAGACUUUUCCUAGAAUCUGGCAUGUUUGUGAUCAGUUGCAACUGCUUUCUGCAAGCAGAAAUGAGGAAUUUUCCUCAUUUGUUUAGCUUAAUAGUGUAAAUGAAAAGAAUCUCCAGCAAUGACAACUCGAGAUUGAAUAACUGAUUUAAAAUAAAGCAACCCAUGAGAAUGUGGAUUGAGUUCGAAUGGACAAAUGAGAGCGGAAUUUGGGUAUAAUGCAAAAACUCCCUCACUAAUGAAGGUAAAGGUAAGCACAGCCCAACAUGGAACUGCUCCCUAGUGAAGCACAUGAAGUGUUUUUUGUGUGUAUCAGUUAGGAGAGGUGUGGUGAUGCACAAUAGUUGGAUGUCAACAUUGUUCGGAAUAUUGAAAUCCUUUUUGAAUUCAUCAGUGGCAAAAUCGUCCACAAUACGAACUAAAGUGCGGGUUGUGUUGUCUGAGGAGGAACCCUUCUAGGGUCUUUUCCUUUUCGUAGAACCUUCAGAUUUCUUCAACAUUCUGUAAGGGUUUGCGUUACUAAUAGGGAAAGUAAGGGAGAAAGAAACCCUAGAAAGAGACUUCUGAGUGCACUUUCGUGCAGAGUUCAAGGGACCGAACAAAGAAGAGAACUCUCUAUCCAGGAAAACAUGAAUGUAAAUGGAGUAAAUAGAACAAAAACCGGAAUUAGUAUAUAAAGAUAAUGAAAAAUAUGGGUUUUCCUCACCUAAACACCGAUAACGCAGGAUUGGUAGUUUGAUGUUAAUGGAAGAGAAAAAAACAAGAAUGUUGCGGUGUGGUAACGGUGCUGUUAAGACUCCAAAAGGAAAGAUGUCAUAACUUUUGGAAUUUGAAAAGGCAUGGUAUGUGUGUCAUCGGUAAGGGGCAUAAGAAACUCCCAAAGGUAGCUGGAAGGUACAUUGUUAUGAGCGUCCAAUACAAAAAAAAUUCAAGGUCCAAAAAAUCAAAGAAAAUAUGUUCCCGCUUAAAAUGAAAAAGAAUUUUCCGUUUGACCUCAGCCAAUGGUCAACAAAAAAUUGGGGGCAAUUGUGGGCAUUGUGGUAAAUGGGGAUAACGGGCCUACCUAAAGAACUAUCUAUUGAUUCGGGCUAGUUUGGGCCUCGAUUAAAAGCCCAUCUAGCCUAAUAGCCUAACUAACUUAAAUAGCCUAACAGGUAAAGUGAGAAAUAGAACGUGGGAGAACAACCCACAAGGAGUAGUGAAGGCAAUUAACGCUUGGGGCGGUAACCACUUGAAGUGGCUAAAAAGUGUCCCCAUGAUCUCCACGCCUAUCGAUAGUUGAAAUGUAUAUGAAUACAACUGGUAAGUCCAAAAAAAAAAAAAGUAUUGUAGCAUGAGAAAUAUUACCUUUUCUAGAAAACCUCAGCUAACUUAAUCAUUAGAGGAGGUGAUCCCGGGGUAAAACCGGGCGAGCCUUGUGUGGCAGGUAUAAGGAAACGCGUGGCGAGGAGAGGCCUAUUGCUCAAGAAAUUCUCAGCUCCAAUAGGCAUUACUUUACAAAAUAUUUUAAAAUGAUGGAGAUAAAAUAGGAAGUUUUAAUUUUGGUAAGUAGGAAGGAAACAACUGAGAAGUUUUUUUUUUUUUUUUUUUUCAGUAAAAGUGAUAACGCUAGAGUCAAGAUUUUGUAAUGCCUUAAUUCUAUCAUAAAAUGAAUUUAUGUAUACUUACACAAAAUUUUCAAUAGAUGAUUACUAUAAGAAAAAAAAUCCACCUUUUUUUAGCUUUAUUUUUAAUAUGAUUCUCAUUCUUAAAAUAAUAAAAUUUAAGAAAGUGUGUGUUUUUUUCCUCUUUUAUUAUCAAUCAUAAAAUUCAAAAUCUUUUCAUUUAAUUUGUUAAUGCUAUGUUUGGUUUAAGAAUGAUAGUAAAUAAAGAAAAUUAUUUUCUCACAUUUGAUUUUAUUAUAAAAAAUAAAAAAUAUAAUUAAAAUUAAUUAAAAACUUAUAUAUUUUCAAAUGAUUUAUUUGUUAUAUAAAAGUAUUAAAUUAAAUAAAAUGAGUUUGAAGUAAUAUAUAAAAAUAAUUUAUUUUCUUUAAAUCUAUUUUUAUUUUAUAAUAGAAUCCAAAGUUUUAUAAUACUUAAAUGGCAGAAAGAGAGCAAUCAAGCUUCAUGUGCUAGUAAUUUUUUUAUUUAUUAUUUUUUUUUAGUAUUUCUUAUUUGGAUUGAAACAAAAUCAAGGAUAUCAUACAAAAUUAUAAUAAAAUUUUAAAUCAUUUAUUACUUUCAAAUAGAUUAAGUGUAUAUUAUAUUAUACAUAAUGCUAAAUCAUAGAUGCUUCAAAUAAUUAAGAAGGAUAACUAAUUAUCUUUCUAUUAAAAAAAUAAAUGAUGUCAUUAAUUGUUGCAAACUAAUUUACAUUAUGGGAUGAUGAGUUGGUUGGUCAUUCUAUCAUCUUCAAAAUUAUCCUUGAAAAUAAAAGUAGUCCAAUAAUUAAUGAUUAAAUAAAAACAUUUCUUUGUCAUUUUUAAAAAAUAAAAUUUUCAUUUUAAUUUCUUCCACUCCUAUGAGGUGGUUAAGAAACCAAAUGCUUGUACAUAUUCUUUUCUUUUCUUUUCUUUUCUUUUAAUAUUACAUUUAUCAUUUUUUUUUUCAUUUAUGUAGUAAAAUUUUUAAAGGUGACUUCCUUAUUUAAUAAGAGAAGUAAGUGUCUCUCUCAAUUAGAGUUUAUAAUACCCCUUGGUUUUUAUAUUAUAGAAAGUUGAAUAAUUUAAUCAUAAAACAAAAGCAAGUGUGGAAAAUUAUAGUAAUUCCUAUAUAAAAUGUAGGAGCUCUUAGAAAUUUAUUUUGAAAAAAAAAAAUUUAAAAAUCAAUUCUUAUACAAAAUCAGGUAUUAAAUUUUUUUUUCUGACUACCUCAAAUUUUAAAAAUCUUGGAAGUAAUUUUUAAAAAUAUAAAAUUUAUGUUCCAUGCAAGUUAUUAGAUUUCAUAUAUAAAUUACUAUUAUUUUCCUUUUUUAGAAAACAUGAAAUUAGUAAGCGAGAGGGAACUAAUAAGACAUAUACAUUAAAAUCGAGGGAAAUAUGGUAUCCACAUUUUUUUUUAUGAAAAAUUAAAGAAAAUGGACAAGCCUAACUUAAUAAAUGGUUUGUAUGGAUUGAGAUUAAUAUAAGAUGAAAAUGACUACAUUCGAAUAUGCUAAUAUUCAUGUCAUUUUUUAGCUAUGUUAUCAUGUUAUAUCAAAAUUGUCAUCCUUAUAUUUGUUUUAUAAAUUUAAUAAUAUGGUACAUAACUUUUGCAUAACAAAAAGUUUAUAUGCUAAUCUUGCUAAAUGUAUGCCUAUAAACAAUAUUUUAAAACAAGUGUAUAAAAAUGGUCGUAAAAAAUUAAUAAUAAUGUUUGGAUUUAAUAAAAUAACUUUGAGAUUUUAGGUUUAAGAAAUUUUAAUGAUACUAGUUGGGAUUAUGGUAAUAUUGAAUUAUGAUUGACUGCAUCUAUAAUUAUAAUUAAAUAUUGAAUAUAUCUCUUUUCAUAAGGUACUAUGAAAUAAUCUGUAACAUAAUUGAAGCAUAAUAAAAAUAUUUAAGCUACUUUAGUCACUAUGCAUAUGAUCUUAAUAGAUAAAUGAGGAUAAUUUAUCAAUGUCUCAAAGUCAAAUAAAUAAAAUUAUCCAUGCCUAAAAACAUACAAAUUAAAAUCAGCAAUUUAAAUUAUUCAUGCUUAAAAACAUACAAAUUAAAAUUACUAAUUCAAAUUAUACAUGCUUAAAAACAUAUAAAUUAAAAUCCACAAUCCAAACAAAGAGUCUUUUAUGGCGUUCUCAUUCUGGUUCAAUACUACAUCUCUACCACCCUUCCAAUUCCAGAACCAAUAGUUAGUCAUGCUUCCAUGCGCAACCUGGCCAAUGGUUAGUCAUAGUUUAAUGAGCAUAUAUAUUAUGACAAUAAUUAUCCUGUGCUUUUUCAUCUUUAGAAAUGAAGCAAAGUAAGAGCAAAAUAAAUAUUAAUUCAGGCUAUGCAAUUUGAAAAACAUAUGAUAAUUGUUUUGGCCUAUCAAUUAAAAAAUGAAACUCUAAAUAAAAAUUUUAAUUAAUUCAAACAAAAAUUCUGGCCUACCAAAACAGCAGUGGUAAUAUGGCUUUUCUUUUUAAAUUCAAUAAUUCAUUCCAAAGAUAAAACUUUGAUAGGUCCUAAGACAUUUAUUAGAAAAAAUAAAGAAGUUUUAACUUCAGAUAGGCUUAAGAUUACAGGAUCUUUGAAUUUCAUAAAUUCUUGGAAUAAUUAAAAACAAAUAAAAUAAAAUAAACGCAUAAAAAAUGAAAAAAGAAAUUUGAAUUUUUUGACCAUAUCUAAUUUCGUAUUGAACUCUAUAUUCUUCCAAGUAAUCAUUUUAAAAUAUUUCUAUAUAUUUAAUUCUAUUAAAUAUUUUAAUCUUCAAUAAAAACCAAAGAGAGAGAAGGCAUACCAUAGGGAGUAGAAUUGGAAACCAGAUAUAUCUUAAAUUUUUUUUUUUUUUUUGUGGUAUGAUUUCUUUUCAUGAGAACCUUUUAUUGUAUUGUAAUGACUAAAUAAGAAAAUAUAGAUAUAAACUGAGAAGUAUAUAAGUUACAUGUUUCAAACAAUCUUUAUAGCCUUAAAAGGAGUGGCUGAGUUAGAUAAGUAGGGGGUAAAGUAAUUUUUUUUAUUUUUUUAAACAUGUAUUAUAAUAAAUAUACAAAAAAAAAAUUAAUAUUUCAUGAAGUGCUUUAUCAUUUAACAAAAUAAGUGAUUAUUGAUAUUAGUUAUGAAAGAAAAAAAUAUAUAGAAUAAAAAAUAAAACAACACAAUAGAUAAAGAAAAGUUUUAAUUAUUGAUAUUAUUUGUGAAAGAAAAGAACUUAUAAAGUAUGAAAUGAAAUGACAAAAAUAGAUAAUUUUUUUAAAAAAAUUUGUUUAAAAAUUAACAAAAAUUCAAACAAUUCUUUCAAAGGAAUUUUAAAAAAUAGCAAGAAAUGUGACCAUAAAUUUUAAAGAAUUUUACAUUUUUUAACAAAAUUUUAAAAAAUUCAAUAAUUUUACUAAUAAAUUUUAAGAAUCAUUUUUGAAAUAAUUAAAUUGAUAAAAAUUGUAUUUAAAAUUUAUUUCUAACAAUAUAAUAUAUCAACCUAAAAACUUAUCAUUAUCAAUAGUAAAUUGGUUGCGGCAUGAUUAAACCUAAAAACUUAGGAAUUUUAAAAUUCUUAAAGUCAACCAAAGCAACCUAAAUAAUCUAUCCACCUGAAUAAGUCCUAAUUUUUAUUUUUUUAUUUUAUUUAAAAAAAAAAAGAGUUUUCAAGUUUCAGACAAACCGAAACUGAGGGAUCUAAAAAUUUCCCAAAAUUUUGGGAUAAUUAAGAACACAUGAUUAAAAUAAAAUCAUGAAAAGAAAAGAAAAGAAAAAUAUAUCAACUGGGUUAUGAUUUCAAAUGUUAUAGAGAUAUUUCAUUUUUCACUAAUUCCAUCUAAUAAAUAUUUUAUUCAGUAGUGAAUGAAAUAAGAAGAUAGAGAACACAUACCUUGCUAGAGGUUAAAGAAACCCUUGAUGCUUUGGAAACUAGAGGUUUUUUUUCUUGGGUGAGUGAUCUUCUCUAUUAGCAGGCCUUUUUCUCGACGGCUGAGGCCAAUGCUUCUGAUCUUGGGCGUAUAUGAGAUGUAUCCCACAACUUUUCACUUUAAAGGAUGCGUUUUCGCCACAUGUAAAAGAGGCAUUACCAACAGGAUUGUCAAAGUGAGCCUUGAAGUUGUUCCACUUUCUGGAUCGAUACUUGCUUGGAAUGCGAAUUUGAGGGAAAUACGUCACCCACAGUGCUGGAUCUGAUGUGCUACCACUGUCGUAGCGUCUGCUGCUAUAUGAUAAACCGCUAAUAGAGUAUGUUUUACAACGAUGAUAAAAACUAAUAUUAUCCAGUCGUUCAGUUUGAUCACCAUGGGAUAUCGCCAAUUUACAUUCUGGAAUAAAACCAGAUGUUCUCACGCAUUCAUCAUCAUCAAGGGGAACAUGAUGGAAGAAUAAAACAAAUCCUAAUAACAAGUUAUUAUCUUCAUACCAAUUCAUUGGAAGUUCUACACUUACUUCACAUCCCAUUCUUUGAUGACUUACCCAUUCUGGUAUUCCACUACUUCCUGGAAUGAUAAUAUUAAGUCUCCGCUGCAGAAAAAAAUGUCAUGUAAAUCUCAUGUUUUUUAAAAAAUAAUAAUACUAAUAAUAAUAAAUAAAAAAUUAAAUUUUUUUUUUUUAAAAAAAGAUAAUUAUGCCAUGAAAAUGAUACCUGAAUUGGUGAUUUCAAGUGUUUGAGCAAAGAAGACCAGAGUAGACUUGAAGAAGUUUCAGUUUCCAGGGAUGGACAACCAUGUGCCUCUAUCCACCCUAGACUUGAUGGAAGCUCUCCAAUUACUUCAAGCAUCGGACAAUGAUUCAUGAGAAGGGUACCAAGCUUACAAAGUUGAGUGAUGCCAGCAGGUAUGCAACGCAUAUGGUUUUCACUUACGUUUAAAAAUUCCAGUGAGGAUAGACACCAUAAAUCAUUGGGGAUUUCUUCUUCCAUCAGAUUGCAACCACCUAGAUCUAGCAUUGUUAAGCAACAUUGCAGGCUUCUCAAAUUGUCAGGCAAGUUGUGGAGCUUUGGACAGUUACGAACAUGAAGACUAGUAAGACAUGUCAAAUUACCGAUGCUAUUGGGAAGAGCCACAAGGUUCUCACAAUUGAUCAAUUCCAAGGAUUUAAGACCUCUCAUAUGUUCGAUUGAUGAUGGCAGCUCUGAGAUACCCGUCUCACGUAAAAAAAGGCGUUCUAAUUGUUCCAUAUCCUCCGUGAUCUCUGAAAAAGCCUCUAGAUUUGAACAACCAUUGAGAGAGAGGCCUUCGAGGGAUUUCAACCCACAUAUACUGUUUGGAAGACUUUUCAAAUUUCUACAAUUUUCCAAAUUUAAGGGAUCAAGUCUGGUGAGAUGACCUACUGAGUAGGGUAAUCCUUUAAUAGCAGUCUCAUCUAGAAAAAGAGCCCAUAGAUUCCCCAUAUUUUUUUGGAUCUCAGGAAACCUCUCAAGACUUGAGCAACCACUGAGAGUAAGAAUUUCAAGGGCCUGCAAGUGCCCAAUGCUAUUUGGGAGUUCCUUAAUAGCGGUUUUCUCUAAAGAAAGCUCCUUCAAGCAUUUCAUAUUCCCUUAGAUCUCUGGAAAUUUCUCAAAGUUUGAGCAAUAUGAGAGGUUAAGAUUUUUAAGAGAUUCCAAAUACCCAAUGCUGCUUGGGAGUUCUUUAAUACCACUCCCAUAUAGACGUAGCUCCCUUAAACGUCCCAUAUUUGUAAAUACAUCUGAAAAGUUCUCAAACUUUGAACAUUCUUCAAGAGAAAGCAUUUCAAGAGAGGUUAAGGACCCAAUGCUAUUUGGGAGUUCCUUAAUAGCAGUCUCAUCUAAAAAAAGAUUCAACAAACAUUUCAUAUUCCCUUGGAUCUCUGGGAAUUUCUCAAAUUUGGAGCAACAUGAGAGGUCAAGAAUUUCAAGAGAUUCCAAAUACCCAAUGCUGCUUGGGAGUUCUUUAAUACCACUCCCACGUAAAUGAAGCCCCCUUAAAUGUCCCAUAUAGGUAAAUGUAUCCGGAAAUUUCUCAAACUUUGAACAUCCUUCUAAAUAAAGCUCCCUCAAAAAUUUCAUAUUCCCAUGGAUCUCAGGAAAUUUCUCAAAGUUUGAACAAUAUGAGAGAUUAAGGACUUCAAGAGAUGCUAAUACACAAUGCUACUUGGUAGUUCUUGGAUCUCACUCUUGUUUAAAUAAAGCUCCUUCAAACAUUCCAUAUUGCCAUGGAUCUCAGGAAACUUCUUCAAGUUUGGACAACAAUUAAGAUAAAGAACUUCAAGAGAUUCAAACUUCAUGCUGGAUGGGAAACUUCGGAGCUGUUCACAUCCUCCUAAAUUCAAGUAAGUCAAACUUUUGAGAUCGCCAAUAGAUGAAUGAAGUUCACGCAACCUUGUACAACCUUCAAGAUUCAGUCUCUCCAAAUUUGGCAUGCUUGAGAAUUUUGGCAUUUUGACCAAUUGUUUUGAGUUACUUAGAUCAAUGCCCUUUAAUUCUUUAAGACGCUGUAACAUAAGACAAUCUGUUAAUAAAAAAAAAUUCUUUAACUUGAAAAUUAUUAUAAAGAAAAAAAAUAAAUAAAUAAUGUUCAUACCUUAUUCCCUUUCCAAAGUUGUUUUAUGUUGCUAGACUUCAAGUUGAUUUCAAGAAGGUGCUUUCCAUAAAAGUUCCAAGGUAAAGACGUCAAAGUGCAUCUUUGCCAAUGAAGAUAUCUCAAAUCAUGAGGAAAUUCAAAGUCUUUUGGAAGAAGCACUUUAUACUCUUCUCUCGGCAAACCAUCAUGAUCAUUGCAAUAGAUUUUAAGCAACCUAAGUUUCUUCAUCUUGGGAAACACUUUUGUAUUGAACUGUAUUUCUCUUGAUCUAGACAAGUCCAAAGAUAUGGUUUGAAUAUUUUGCAUCUCCUGGAAAACAAUAAGGAAAAAUAAGGGAAGAACACAAGAUAAAAAUCCUAACUAUAAUUAUAGAGACAAUUAACCACUAAAAAGUCGAUUAUAAACAUUUAAAUAAAUAUUUAGGCAUUUAAUUCGUACCUCUUGUUUAGAAAAUGCAUCAUAAAUAUCAUCUACAUCCCACAAUCUACUCCAUUUGCAGGGGUCUCCAGGACAUUCUUCACGAACAAUUGCCCAACCCAUUUCUUGUAUCAAGUCAUGCAUUUGUAUGACGUUGUCUAAGAUAGUUACUAGACAUCUAUCACGAAGAACUCUUAUGUUGCAUGUUGCAAAUAAAUUGCAACCAUCUAAUAUUCUUGACACAAAAUCUUUGCAUUCACCUUUGAAAAAACACGCAAUGUCCAGGAAAACCUCCUUUUGAGAAGGAUCAAGCCCAUCAAAACUUAUUCUAAGCACAUCAUUAAUUUCCUUCAUAGGGUUUUUUUUUGAUUUAUCCGAUGCGCUUUUCCAUUCAUCUAUUGUCAUGCCCUGAAGAGAAGAACCUAGAACUUUAAGGGCCAAAGGGAGACCUUGAGCAUAUUGUACCAUGCAAUUUGAGAGGUCUACAUAAUCUUCUUUAGGAACAUUUUGUUUAAAGGCAUGUUGGCUGAAGAGUUGAAGAGCUUCCUCAUAAUGUAAUUCUGUAGCCUUAUGUGAUAUAGUCACUCCAUACUCAACCAACAGAUGUUGGUCUCUAGUUGUAAUGAUAAUUGUACUUCCUGGACCAAACCAUUUAGGACUUCCAGCCACUGACUCUAAUUGCUGCAAUCGAUCCACAUCAUCAAUUACAAUAAGAACCUUUUUUGAGCCAAGUCUGUCCUUUAUUAUAUUGAUUCCUUUAUUGAUAUUGCUAAACUUUUCAUCAUUCCCCACUAUAUCAUGAAGAAGUUGUUGUUGUAGUUGAAGUUGACAACCCUUGUUGAAUGUCUCUCUGACAUCUUGAAGAAAGCUAGCACCAGUGAAUUGAUAUUGGAUCUCAUUAUAAACAAUCUUGGCAAUGGUAGUUUUACCAAUUCCACCAAUUCCAUAUAUCCCAACCACACGAAUGUCAUUCAAGUCACUACUUAACAAUGACUUUAGUUCUUUUAGGCGAAAAUCCAUCCCAACUAUAUCCUCGUUAAUGUGCAAAAGCUUAGAAUUCAUUGAUCUUUUAAAAAUCAGGUUAACAAUUUCCUUAAUAUGCUUUGACUCAUACCUGCCAAUUAUAAAGUACAAUUUAACACUUCAUGAGUUAUAAUGAAUUGCAAAAAGAUAACAAAUAUUAAGUAAAUUUAUUGAUAUUUUUUUGCUUUUGUCAAUAUAACAAAAGUAAUAGGAUGUAAAAAAAUGUUAAAAGAACCCACUAUAUUGGGCAUUUUACAAAUAAUGAAAAGGCAAGUAGUUUUGAGCCAAGUGUUUAUAAGAUCACAAAGCAAGCUUUACUACACAAAAUUAUUAACUUGUUAAUUCAUAAUUUAAGACAACUAAAUCCUUACAACUGAAUUAAAUCAAAAGCACAAAUUAAGGAAGUUGGAGUUACCCAUCAUUCACAUGGAAACCACUUAGAUUGCUUGCUUCAGUCAAGGAAUCCCUCCACCUUUGCACCUUUUUCACAUCUACAUUUCUUUCAUGAAUGGAAAAUGCCUCUCCGAAGCUCCCUGUUUGCUUUUGCACAUCACAAGGAUCCACGUGGUAGAACACCGGAAAGACUAUUUGUUCCAUUUCUUCCCUGCACUCCAUGAUCUUUGCUAACUCAUCCAAACACCACUUGGAAUGAGCAUAGUUUUUUGAAAACACAACUAUGGAAAUUCUUGAUUCUUCAAUAGUUUUCAAAAGUUCUGAUUUGAUCUCUUCUCCUCUUUCAAGUUGAUCGUCUCUGAAAGUCUUAAUCCCCAUCCCAUCCAAAUUUACGAAUAAAUGAUCCGUAAAAUUGUUGCGGGUGUCUUCACUUCUAAAACUCAAGAACACUUCGAACUCAUAUUUACGGACUGAGGUAGAAGAAGAAGAGGGUUUUUGGGUAGAGGAAGCCAUUGUUGGACAGUUUCUAGAUGAAAGCUUAGAGAGAGUCGAGGAAGAACUUGGGCUUAGUCAAUACUUGAUACGCCGACGGCAUAUUUGGGUCCUCGUAUGAAGCAAAACUAUUUUUUUUUUUUGGUGGUUGUGGGGUGGUUGGAUUGUAAAAAGCAAAGAUCGAUUUUCCCAAUACAUUUAAGCAGGCGAUCCUCUUGCCAUUUUUUGGGUCCAAAUGCAUAAGCAUGUGAUUUGUCAGUUAAAUGUCAAGGAGUAAUGAGUGGGGAGGUCGGUGGCUUUUAUUAUUAUUUUUUAUAUUUUAAAUAAAGAUCAACAUUUUAAAUACAUGCUUAUUACUAAAAAAAAUAAAAAAAUUUAACAAAUUAAUUAAUUUUAAUUAUCUUAUUAUUAAAUUUCAUUUAACUUAUUAUGAAAAUGUAAAAACCAUAAUAAUGAUUUACUGAAAAUAAUCUCUAUGUUUUUUGUAUAUUAAUUAUUUAUAAAUUUAUAUAUAUAUAUAUAUAUAUAUAUAUAUAUAAUUUAAAAAAUAAAUAUUCAUAUAUCAUUAGUUAUUUUAUACCCUAAAAUACAUUCAAACUAAAUAGAACAUUAUUUUUAUAAUAAAUGUGGUAAGAUACUUUAUAAAGUACCCUUUUCUUUAUUUUUAAGUUUUCUUUUUCACUUUACAAACUCAUCUAUGUUGCUAAAUGUAUCCCUUUUUUUGUUUUACAAUUUUUAUAUUCUUUCAACUUUUCAAACUCAAUAAUCCUUUAAAAAAAAAUUAAUUUUUAAAACUUUAUCUUUUAUAAAAAGUUUCUAAAACCAUAAAAUUUUUAGAUAAAUUUAUUAUUAUAUUUUUCAUUAAAAAUAAUAAUAACAAUGAAAUUUUUUAUAACGAUGAACCAUAAUAUUUCAAAAUUUCACAUAAAAUCUCAAUUACUUUAAAACGAAUGUUAAAUUAUAAAGAAUAAAUAUAAAUAAAGAGAUAAUAAUUAUUUCAAUUAUAUUCUAUUAAAGCUUUUGUUUCUCUUGUCUAAUAUUUAUAUUGACUCAUACAUAUCUUUCUGUUCCUCCAAUCUAAAACCAUAAAAAAUAACACUAAGGCAUUUUACAUUGGUGAAAGAAUACAUAGCAUGAAUAUAUUUGAAUUUGCAAGAUAAUUAUAUCAUGCAUCACUAAAUUUAUCCAUAAAAAUAAACUUACGAAAUGUUGCAAAUUAAAUAAUAUUUUUUUAAUCAAGAUUGGAUUGAAAAGGAAUUUUAUGAAUAUUCUAAAAUUCAUUCUCCCAUUUGAUUUUCGAGCAAAUCCAUGCAAAAGCCCCAAGAAAAACCAAAAAAAUUGUUUUUUUUUUUGCUCCCUAUGUUUUUUGGAUUUGUUCUAGGGGUCUCCGUCCCCCAUUCAAUUUCCAAAAAAAUUCAUCAUCGUUUGAUUUUUGAGAAAAUCCAUGCAAAACCCCUAAUAAAAACAAAAAAAGAAAUUUUUUUUUUUUUUUUGCUCCCUGUAUUUUUUGAGUCUAUUCUAAGGGUCUCUACGCUUUUGUGCAAUUGGAUUUAAAUUUCACAAACCCUAAAUCCACGAUUUUUGAGUCAAGCUGAAAAACACAACAUUUACCAGUCAACCGGUGAGAGGUGUGAGUGGGAGCCGACUUCACUAGGAGGGAGGGAGAGGCGGACGGUGGGUAUGGAAAGAAAAAAAAUAUACAAUCUUAAUAUAAAAAAUGAAAUCGGCUUAGAAUAUAUAAAAAAAUAUAUAAUUUUUCACAUUAGUUUUCAGAUUUUGUAAAGUUGAAUUCGGAAAAGUAUAUAUCUGUGGAUUGAAACCAUCAAAACACAAGUUUCCAGAUCAUUUAUUCACAAUUGUCAGAGUGUAAUGAGUGGGGAGAUGGGUGGCUUUGAAAAAAAGUUAAGUAAUUCAAAAGCAACGGUCAUCAUGUGACAAGAAUCAUUUAUUCACAAUUGUCAGAGUGUAAUGAGUGGGGAGGUGGGUGGCUUUGAAAAAAAUUUAAGUAAUUCAGAAGCAACUUAAUUCAAAAGCAACUUUAUUUCCUUGCGUUUACAUACCGAAAAUGCCGUUCAUGUAUGACAAUAUUUCCAUGAUAUGGAGCUUCUAACUGUUCAGGAAUAAUAAAUCAAGUUCAAUCGAAAAUGAAAAUGUCAUCGAUAUUGCAACAUUUCCACGAUAUAUCGAGCUUCGGUGGGCUUGGACAUGACAUAAAGUGGUGAGAUUUCCUUUGCUCGAUUUUUCGGGGAGAAAAUAUAUUAAGCACAGUGAUUUUUAUUUUGGUAUUACUUUGACCAGUCAAAACCUUUCAAUAUUAUUGCCAUGGAUCCUUCCCCCUUUAAUUAUUUUUAUUUUUCAUAUUCUAUUUUAUAUAUUAUUAAAAAUAUAAAAAUAUCAUAAUAAUCUUAUUAAUGAGGCAUUCCUUAUUUUUUUUUAAAAACUUAGAUAUAAAAUUAUUAACAUUUUUAAACAUAAAAAUAUAUUCAUAUAUCAUUAUUUUUUUUUAUAUUUUAAAUAAAGAUCAUCAUUUUAAACACAUGUUUGAUUACUUAAAAAAAAAAAAAAAUUUAAUAAAUUAAUUAAUGUUAAUUAUCUUAUUAUUUAAAUUUGAAAUUUCCAUCUUAUGCAAAUUUCAUAAAUUUGAAAAGAUCUCAUAUUAAUUUUUUCCAAAAUUAUAUUAUAUUGUAUGAACCUAGAAAACUUUUAAAAACUUUAAAAAUAUUAAAGCCAUUAUAAAUUUUAUUUUAUUCAAGUUUUAAAAAAUAAAAUCAUUAUGGAUUUUAUUUCAUUUGAGUAUAUUAAAUCACUUUUUAAAUACAUUUUAAAAUGAAAAAAAUUAGAAAAUAAAAUCAUUAUGGAUUUUAUUUUAUUUGAGUAUGUUAAAUCACUUUUUAAAUAUAUUUUAAAAUGAAAAAAUUAGAGUGCGUGUAUUGCCAAGAUGUUGACUUAGGCAUUGGAAAAAAUAGUAUAUGUACAUAUAUUAUUAUAAUAAUAAAUAAUGAGAAGAAACAUACAACUUAUUGUUUUAGUUUUAAGAUUUUGUGCGUGUAACGAAGAUAGAAGGGUAAUGAAUUAAUUAUGUAUUGAAUUUGAAAAUUAAUAAAAAUUAUAAUAUUUAGUCAUGUAGUUAUAUUGAUGUAUGGUAUUUAAAUUCGUUCUAUUAAAUUUUUCCUUUUUCUAAUGAUAUAAAAUGGGUGCAUUAAAUGUUUAAUAAGACAAAAAUAAUAAUAAGAGGAUAUAAAUGACUCUAUAGAUAUUUUAAAAUAAGUGUAUAAAAAGGGUCAUCAAAAAUAUAAUUUUUGGAUUUAACAAAAUAACAUCUGAGUUUUAAGUUUAAAAAAAUUUAAAACUACAAUCGUCAAAGAUGGGACGUAACGAUACUAGUUGGGAUAUGGUAACAUUUUCCUUUAUAAAUAUACUAUAUUUAUAGAUAAAUAUUGAAUACAUAGGGGAUGUGCAUGGGGUCUGAAAGAUGGGUAUAUGUGAAUAUGGGUGUGAGGGAGUUAGUGAGAAAUGGAGAUGACCAAUACAUGCAUGGUUCUUAUGCACGAGUAGAAAACGAGUAGUGGGGCAAUGAAUGAGGCAUCUUGGCGUGGUGGGUAUGAAUGGUGGAAAGGCACUGAAACGAAGUGGGUUUGAAGGGUUCGGUGUGUGUGAGUAAAUGUCAUAUGGGGGUAUGAUGAGUAGUGGUACCCAUGUGCAUGAGAUUAGUUAUAUUGGGUGGUGUAGGUUGGUAAGAAAACGGUGUGCUAGAGAGAGAAAGGUGGUGAUGGGCAUUUAAGUUUAGAGGGAGAAACGGGUCUAGUGGGUAUGUGAAUAAUGGAAAUGCGUAAGAGGAUAUGAAGAGUAGGAUGGGUGGUAGUGGAGUAUGAGGUAUGAUUAGGAUGGGAAGGUGGCGAGACUGCAUGGGAGAAGCUGUUAAUGACGAGUGCAAAUGAGAGGAACAGUGACGAUAGAGUAGAUGCUGCAUGAUCAGCAAAGGCAUUCACAAAUUGGGGUGGCUGGCUUGAAGCUGGGGUUGAGACCAAAACAUUUAUCAUUGGAGGAGUUAGUGGAGAUCCCUUCAUCAAUGAUGACCAACCAGGCAUUGGGCUUGGAACACUACGAGGUAGUUGGUUGCUGCGUCCAUUAACAUAGCCUAGCCACAAAUAUGCUGAAGUAUCCAGCAGAUUCCUAGCAAUACAAACCUCAACAAUCAGAUGCCGCAUGUUUCCAGAACAGUUCAUUGACAAGUCAUUCAUGCUCAUGCCAUCCAGGUACCCACUCCCGGCCGUGAUGGACUCUGAUUCUUAGUUAAAUCUUAUUUUCCAAUUCCUUUCUCAGUCUUACCUACAUGAUCAACUUCACGUGAAAUAAUAGGACUUGAGCUCUCAUAUUCAAAGGUGUGUUUCAAUGGUUAAUUCAACACAGCUCCCUUCUUAGACACAGUCCUUGAAGAUAUUCCUGCACCCCUUCCACUAAUAUUUGACUUAUCAUCUAAGCCAGAGUGGUUAGAUGAAACCAUGCCUGAUGAUUGCUCCCUAUUAGGAUUUUCACGUACUCGAAACUCAGUGCGCUGGAUUCGUUUGGUUUCCUUUGAAAUCCACUAGAAUCUGCCCGAGAAGACUCAGGAACUGGAAAUGAUGAUCUUGGCCCAGAAUUCUUAACUGUGAACAUAUAUUUUUUGCCUUUACCAGCAAAUAUUGGGCCCUGAGCCUUUGACCCACUUAAAUCUCUGUCCCUUGAAAAAGAUUGGGAUGAUGUGGAUCCAUUUCGUGGCAGGCCUUCAGAUUCUCUGGCAUUGGACAAGGAAAUGUAGUUCUUUUUAAUUGUUUCAUGAUGCCCUUGAUCUGUCACUUGGAGUCCUAAUUCAUACCUACUAUUGUGUUCAACAAUAUGGACAUAUCAGCUAGGGCAUGACUUGUCAUAACACUACUGUUUGCACUUACUCUCAGGGGCAAUGACUACUUCUUUUGAUGCGUUGUCCUGUGGCAGAUCCAAGCUCCUUGGAACAAGACCAAGUUGACUGUCCAUUGGAAGGGACACUACGUCAAUCUUAGUGUUUUGAAUGGCUUGAACGUGGAAAAGCCAACCUUCAGGAUUCUGAUUGGUUGUAAAAUGGGCAGGGGCAUUGGGCUGAACAAAAGACAUUGGUUGAGGAGCCAGUGGUAGAAUUCCUUGGGAGAUAGGUGAUGUAUAUCUGAGUUGACCAAACUGGAAGAGAGGAGGCUAUGAUGUGUGUAUAUGGGUAAGUGAUGAACCAACUUGGGGAUGUAGAUGGAGAGGCAUCUGUAUGGAGCCAAUCUGGAGUAGCAGAUACAGUAGACGUAACCGCCUUCCCAUAUGAGGAAUGCAUGGCCACAUUAACAGAAGAGGGAGCGGGAUGCAGUGAAGUCUGACUAGAACUAAUAGAAGCAUCCACAGAAUUCAAAACAUUAGAUGCCACCGAGGUAUGAGGACCAUUAACCGGCUGUAUAACUAAAUCUUGGAUUGCCUUUCCUGCGUCUUCAUCCCUCCUGCCAGAACCAUCAAUGCUCACUUGAGGAGAGCCAUCAGUAAGUUGAGGGCUUUGUCCUUCAUGUAUCCCACCAAAAGCACCUUGUUCCUCUACAGUACCAAGAGAAACCUUCGAUAGCAUAAAUGUGCUUUCUUCAUUUCCUGAACUUCUCUCAAACUCAUCACUUGGCAUUCUAACUUCAACACCCUCAUCCAAGCCCAAGACCGAGUUGUCUACCGUGUGGGGAGAGCCUUUCUCUCCUAAAUGCACAUCCUCCAACUCCUUGGUCAGGUUAAUAUGCUCAUCUACUUCAUGCACUUCAUCUUCUUCAUCUGAACUCUCUCAGAAGCAUUUCGAUUAAAACGACCAGACCAAACAUGAUGCCCAACAAAUACAUGCAUAAAGUCACCUAGCCAUGAUAAGUGUGUUGCAACUCUUCAUACCCAUGGACUGAGAACAUAUUUCUUGCAGUACCUUACCUCUUCAGGCAGAGAUGGGAAAUCUGAUGCGGUCUACAGCCAAGCAACAGGAACAGAGGAAAACAGCAAACAGAACACAAAUAAUGGGAACCAAAUGAACCCCCACCAACCUCAUUUCACGUAUCAAUCAAUGAGCUUAGACGUAGGAGUGGGUCAAAGCAGAUUUCAAAUGAGUUUUAAAACAAAAUUAAGACAUGAAUGCCAAUAUCUCAUAAUCUCAAAACAGGGGACAUAAAACAGAUUAGAAAUCAAAGGCAAGUGCAAACAAGCUCAAAUUCCAUAAAAAUAAAAAUAAAAAACAAACUAAAAUCCCCAAUAAAUACAUUCAAACACCAAAAUAGAAUCUCAUGAUACCCAGAUAAUGCAAUAAAAUGGCAUGAACGUGGAAAAGCUAACCUAUAGAAAUAAUAUCUAAGCCUCCUUUUUUCAAGGCUCUUCCCCUGCGUGUUUCUUCUUGUCUCUGACUGGGUUUCUCUUCCAAGAAAAUACAACUGAUAUCCCUUUACCCAAGCAAUCUUACUCCUCGGGUAACCACACUGCAGCGCCCUCCCUCUGUAACCUCUCAAAACUCUCUCUCAUGUACUCCCUCAACAAGACUUACAUCUCAAGCUAACCUCUCACUGCCCAAAAUAUCUCUCCAAACAGCAGCGAAGACAUCACCCUCAAAAAAAAAAAAAUAUCUCUGUAAAAAAAUCACCUCCCUCUCAAUACGCUCUCUCUCCCCCCUCCAACUUGCUGCCCAAGCUAAAGGAAUCCCCUCUAGAAACCGAGUUUGCUCCCUCUCUAGCUAAAACUCUCCUCCCAAGCUCUCUGCAACUCAAAAAUAUCUCUCUCAAACCAGCCCACGGAAUACCCUCCUCAGACAACAACUUCUCCCUCCCUCUAGCUUGCUACCCAAGCUAAAGAUGAAAACCUCUCUAAAAAUAUCUCCUAAAAAAACCCACCCCUGAAAAACACCAUCUACUCCCUCAAAAUGUCUCCCCCCAAAACGACAACGAAGACCCCAACUAGCUGGCUACGCUCCUGCACCAGCUCACUAACGGCCUGCAACUUUUCCAAACUCUUCUUGACACGUGUCCACCUUAUUGCCUCUUCAAUCCACUAUUAUGAUUCCAUAGCAGCCAUCCCUGAAGCAACACGUGGCUCUUUGAGAGCCUUGGUAAGAAAAACUCACAGAAAAGUGAGAAAAAAUGAGCCCCUAAAAUGGGGGUCAACACAUGAUAAUUGUUACGGCCUAUGUAUUCAUAAAUGAAGCUUUAAUUUUUUUUUUAAUUAAUUCAAACCAAAUUUUGGCCUAAAAUAGAUACAAUAAUAUGAUCUUUCUUUUUGAAUUCCAUAAUUCUUUCCAAAGAUAGAAAAAAAAAGUUUUAACUUUAGAUUGCCCAAGAACAUAGAAUCUCCAAAUUUCAUAAAAUAAAUAAAAAACUAUUUAAAUGACUUGACCAUAUGUAAUUUCGUAUUGAACUCGGUAUUCUUCCAAGCAUGAAAUCAUCUUAAAAAUUCUUUAGAUAUAUUUUUUCCACUAAUUUUAAUAAGUAUUUUAACAUUCAGUAAAACCAAAAAUAGAGAGGCAUACCUUAUUGAGUUGAGAAGGAAGCAAGACAUGUCUUCAUUUUUUGUGGUUUGAGUUCUCUGCAUAAGAACUUUUGAUUUUAUUGUAAUGACAAAUUAAGAAAAAUAUGAUCUCAAAAUUUUUAAUCUAUGGUAAUGACCAAAUAAAAAAUAUAUAGCUAUGAAAUGAGAAGUAUAUCAUAAGUUACAUGUAUCCAACGUGAAGAUCAAAAGAUAUGGCAAAGAUAUAGCUUUGAAGGAAAGAGGUAGGGACCAGAGUAAAAAUAAAAAAUAAAAAAUAAAAAAAUCAUGAGUUAUAAUAAACACACAAAAACUUUUAUAUUUCAUGAAGUGCCGUUGAUUUAAAAAUAAUAAGUAAUUAUUGAUAUUAGUUGUAAAAGAGAAAAAUAUCAAAUAUCAAAUGAAAAACAAAAAUAGAUAAAAAAAAAAUAGUUUUAAUUAUUGGUAUUAGUUAUGAAAGAAAAAAAACCUAUAAAGGAUUAAAUGAAACAAAAAAUACAGAAAUUUAUAUUAAAAAAAUAAAAAAUAUUUUCAAAGAAUUAAAAAAAGAUAGCAAGAAUUUUUUUUUUAGUAGAAUUUUUCAAUUUUUUCUUUUGUAAAAAAACUUUUUAAAAAAUCAUUAAUUUUAAUAAAAUUUUAGAAUUUUUUGAAAUAAUUAAAUUGAUAAAUUUUCUAUUUAAAAUUUAUUAUAAUAUAGAGGUAGCACUAUCCUUAUCAAUAGUAAAUUAGUUACAACAUGAUUAAAUCUAAAAUUUUAGGUAUCUUAAAAAUCUUAAAGUCAACCAAAACAACCUACACUAAAAAAGUUAUUUAAUAAACUAUAAAUUAUUUAAAUUAAAUUAAAUUUUAUUAACAAUUAAGUAGAAAUAAUCUAAAUAAUCAUAUAGUCAUUUGUAGUUUAGUAACUACUUAAUUAAAUUUAAAAAUUUAAACAUUUAACAAAUAUCAAAAUCAAACCAAAUAUCCCAUCACUAAAAAUAUUAACUUUAUAAUUAAAAAAACAUUUUUAAAAAUUUGUUUUAUGAUAUAUAUUACGAUUUAAAUAAAAUUAAUUUUAUAAGCAUUAAAUAAAAUAAAAAAUAUGAUAAAUAAAUAUUUUAUAAAAUCUAUUUAGUAUCGGCAUUUAUCUAAUUUCUUUUUUUUCAUACAAAAUCGUUUUAUGAGGAGCUGAAAGCUUAUAUUUUGGCUUUUUAUUCUUUAACAUUCCUAAAUAAAUAGAAGGAUAUUUUGCCCCAAGCCCACCAUGCUCCUUCACUAGCCCUAGGUCAUGCUCUCACCUUUUAGAUUGUUUAUAAAUGGAUGCUUCGCUUUCUCACAUUACCAAAUGAGAAAAAGGCCAAAGCGAGGGCAAAAUAACUAUUAAAUUAUAUAUGUUUCACGUAAAUAGAGUUUUUGUAACAUAAUCAAUCAAUUUAAGAAACAUAUCAUAAUUAUUAUUAAGCUCUAAAUAUAUAGUUUACGUGAAAAUAUUCACCUUCCAUUUUGCCUCCUAAAUUGCAUGCUUUUGACUACCUUCAAAAUUUCGAUAAUCUAUUCCAAAUAUGAUACUUGAAUAAGUCAUAAAGUAUUUUUUUUAAAAAAAGAAAAAAGAAAAAUGAGUUCUAACUUUCAAACAAACCUAAGGUAGGGGUUCUCAAAAUUUCCUAAAAUUUUAGGAAAAUUAAGAACACAUAAUUAAAAUAAAAUCAUGAAAAGAAAAAAAAGGAAAAAAUGACUCACUAGGUUAUGAUUUUAAAAAUUAUUUAGAUAUUUCUUUUUUCACUAAUUCAAUCUAACAAAUAAUUUAACCAAUGAUUAGUUAUGGUUCCAUGAUAUGAUGAUGAUAGUUGUCCUCUACUUUUUCAUCUUAAAAAAUGAAGCAAAAUAAGUAUUAAUUCAUGCUUUAAAAGAUGAUUAUGCAGUUUAAAAAACAUAUGAUUUGGCAUACCAAUUUAGAUAUGAAGUUCUAAAUAAAAAUUGUAAUUAAUUCAAACAAAAAUUUUGGCCUACCAAAAUAGCUACGAUUUUUCUUUUUAAAUUCAAUAAUUCAUUGUAAAGAUAAAGCUUUGAUAGCUGCUAAGAUAUUUAUUAAGGAAAAAAAAAGUUUUAACUUUAGAUAGGCCAAGAAUAGGGGAUCUCCAAAUUUCAUAAAAUCUUUGGAUGAUUACAAACAAAUAAAUCAAAAUAAAAGCUUAAAAAGAAAAAACUUAUUUAAAUGACUUGACCAUAUCUAAUUCGAUAUUGAACUCCAUAUUCUUCCAAUCAUCUAAUCAUUUUAAAAAUUUCUAGUAAGUAUUUUAACCUUCAAUGAAACCAAAAACAGAGAAGGCAUACAUUAUUUGGGUGAGCUGGAAACAGGGAUGUCUUCAUUUUUUCUAGUUUGAGUUCUUUGUAUAAGAACAUUUUAUUUUAUUGUAAUGAAUAAAUGAGAAAAAUAUAAUCUCAUAAUUUUUAAUCUAUUGUAAUGAGUAAAUAAAAAAAAUAUAGAUAUAUAAUUAGAAGUAUAUAAGUUAAAUGUUUCAAACCAUCUUUUAUAAGAAUAUCAAAAGAUAUGGCCAUAAAGGACAACGGAGUUAGGUGGAUAGGGGGAAAAGUCAAAAGACCAAAAAAAAAAAAAAACUCUUAAUUUAUAAUCAACAUACAAAAACUUUUAUAUUUCAUGAAGUGGUCUAAGUAUCAUUUUAAAAAGUACGUAAUGAUUGACAUUAAUUAUGAAGGAAAAAAAAUAUAUGAACUAACAAAUGAAACAAGAAAAAUAGAAAAAGAAGUGUUGUAAUUGUUGAUAUUAGUUAUGAAAAAAAAAUAAAAACUAUCAAAUGAAACAAGAAAAAUAGAUAAAGAAGUGUUGUAAUUGUUGACAUUAGUUAUGAAAAAAAAAUAAAAACUAUCAAAUGAAACAAGAAAAAUAGAUAAAUAAGUGUUUUAAUUAUUGAUAUUUGUUGUAUUAUGUGACUCAUAUUGAGUGAAAGACAUAUAGAGAAAAAUGUGCAAAUACUGAAACAAAGCGAAGUGAAACGGAGCAGAGUAACAACAUUUGCCAUUCAAACUUGUAUUUUUAUUGUUGUGGGCGAAUGAUAGGUUGGGAGGGUUCGAGGAAGGGGGGCGUCUUCCCGCAAUAUAGUGUAGGGGUAUUUUGGAAUUUCAUUACCUAAGGGUUAGUACAAAUACCCUUUUUAUAUAACCCUAAUUUUAGAUAUAGUGAAAGUUUUCUUCCCUAUUCUCGUGGAUGUAGACAAUCUGUUGAACCACAUUAAAUUUGUGUGUUUUUCUUUUCAUUUUCUCUAAUUUUCACCAUAAAUCGUUGCAUGAAACUUAACAAUUGGUAUCAAAGCGUCAGGUUCGAUGUCAGGGAUUUCUUUACGAAGUUCGACAUAGUCAAGUUCGAUGGAUUCGGGAAUUUCGAUUUAUGGCAGAGGACGAUUAAGGAUCUAUUAGUGCAACAAGGUAUGGUUGAUUACUACUCAAAAAGUGUUAUUUCAUAGCUUGUAAUUAACUCUUUUAAACAUUUUUGAGUAUUGGUUAUUACCUUUUAACCCAAUUAACAUGUUAAGGACCCUUGUAAUCAAUUCUAAUAAAAAAUGUGUUAAGUUUUGGUGUUUUGAUAGCUUUUUGAUCACCAAAGCAAUCUGAGAUUGAAGAGAGUUCUUUGGAAUCCAUGCAAGGAGUAUACCCGGACAGGGUGUCCGGAUACACCAUCGGAGGGCAUCCGGACAAUACAUCCGGAUAGUGGAAGUGCGCCACCAUUCCAUCCGGCUGCCGCCACUUUAUACCCGACUGCCGCCACUUUACACCCGGAUGCCGCACUUUCCACCCGGAUGUAUCACAUCCGGAAAUCUGCUGCCGCCGCCAUUACAUCCAGAUGUCUCACAUCUGGCACAUUAUAUCCGGAUAUUUUGCAUCCGGCGCCUGACGCCGGAUGGGAGAGGAGAGCGUUUUGCACAGUGUCACGGUGUUCUCUUGAAGCUUCCCGAUAUUUGCACCGAAAUUUUGGGAUAUUUUGAGAUAUUUUGCUUUAGAUAUUUAAUGUCGGUGUUCUCCUGAAGCUUCCAGAUAUUUACGACUGACACUUUGGGAUAUUUUGUUUUAGAUAUUUUAUGUCUAAAUUCCCAAAGUCUCCUUGUAACCCACCAAUUAUAGGAUUCCUUAGUCUUUAAGUAAGUACAAAGGGUAAAUAACCCUUUAUAUAUAGUUUGUAAUCUUCUUUGAAAGAAGGAUCAGAAUUAGAUCUCGGGAGCCUGUUCCCAAGGAGGUAUAUCCUGGGAGCUUGUUCUCAGAGAUGCAUCCUUUGUACAGUUUUGGGAAGGAAGUAAAAUACAGAGUACUUGCUCUGCUUUUGUUUUCUCGUUAUUUUCUUUCUAGCUAAUCAAAUUCUAAGGAUUUUUCCUCAGAGGAUGAGAGGUUAGGCUCUUUGUUUCUUGGAGUGAAGAAAGCCGAGUAAAUUUCCUCAUGCAUAAAUUGGAAGUUUUGUUGUUUUAGUUUUUAAUGAAGAGAAAGUGUGACCCAUUAAUGGUUUUUAUCUUUUUAGUUAACUUAAAACGCCUUUAAAUCACCUGGGCCAACACUUGGUAAGCUUUUGGACUCUACGGAGACAUCCAUUAGUUAUCUCUUGCGAGCUUUUGACGGGUAAUCCAAGGUUAAAGAUCACCUUGAAUGGCAAGUGCUAGGUGAGAGGUAUGAGCCACUGCAAGGUGCAUCAAUGAGAGAGAUUUAGUGUUUGAACCCAUUAAUGGGAAGCAUCUGUACCACACCGGUUCGGGAAAUAACUAUAUGUUAAAUCCCCAAUGCGAGGAAAAUAAACGAGUGACCGGAACUCUCCUUUUUGUAUGAGGAAUCUGAACCUAGUGAUCUAAACUCCAAGAGACACUUUUCUUUAUAAGUAAAAUCAGUUACUAUUUUUGGUUAGUUUAAAACCAAACCUUUUUCCGCUAAAGAUUAUGUUUUCUUUUAAAGCUAACCUUGAAAUGAAAAGGCAUCAAUUCAACUUUGAAUUAAUAUCAAUUGUGAAGUGAAAACCCAUCCCAGUGAACGAUCCUAGAGCCACUAUGUUAUAGUAGCUUUGUCUUUACUACCCUAGUUCAUGGUGUAAUAGGUUAUAAAUUUUGUUGAUUACUCCCUCAAUCAAGGAGCACCAGCUGGACAUGAAUCAGCUGAUACACCAAGUGGGCACGAAUCAAAUGGCGCCGUUGCCGGGGAUGGUGCCACUUUACAGUGAUAUGACCUUUUCAGAGUACUUGUGAUCUUCAUCACAAGUUUGGUGACUUUUCUUUUCCUUUUACUAACUCUUUUUAUUUGUUUAUUUUCCUUUGUUCAUGUUUUAGUAUAUCUUUUAUUUAGUUUUUAGUUAAACUUAAUAAUUUUCUUUAGAAUUUUUUUUUUCUUUUGUUUUCUCUGUUUUUAAUUCAGAAAUUGCUAGUUGUGCAUGCCAUAUUGAAUACGAGAUAGCAGAGGAAGCCAUUAACUUCAUGAGUUAAGUGGCUAAAUUUUCAAGAGGAUGGGAUGAACCAAAUGUUAGAAAUAUGGGCAGAAUGACAUCUCAACCUAAAACUAAGGGUGAGAUGUAUAUUUUGAAUGACGGCAUGAACAUGAAGGCAAAGAUUGCAGCUAUGGAAAGGAGAUUGGAAGAGCUAGAAAUGAACCAGAUGCAAGAAGUGCAAGCCAUCUCUCAGACACCAUUGCAAGCUAUGCCUUGUGCCAUUUGUCUAUCUUAUGAGCACUUGGUGAAGGAGUGUCCUACCAUUCCAGUGGCGAGGGAAAUGUUUGGUGAUUGCAACACCUACAAUUCCAAUUGGAGGAAACAUCCAAAUUUCUCUUGGAAACCACAGCCACCUCAGUACCAGCAACCUACUCAAGCACCACAGCAAGCCUCAAACCUUGAACAAGCUAUGAUGAAUCUUAACAAGGUCAUGGGAGACUUUGUUGAAGCUAAAAAAUCCAUUGUUGAUCAAGUCAGGCAAGAAAUUGACAGCCAAGACAAAAAGACGGAUGGGAGGUUGAAUGAUCUGUCUCAGAAGACAGACAAUCUCGAAUACACAAGCUCAAGGUUUGCCAACCUCAACGCAAUGCAAGAGAAAGAAAACUUUCUUUUUCAACCUCAUAAAAAUCAAAAGGGUAUCCAUGAAAUAGAGGUUGGGGAGAGUGAUAAAGAGGUUGAUCUGCCCGCAUGCAAGCUAGAGCAUGAGGUAGAGAGUGAAACAGAGAAAGAAAAGAGGGAGGAAAUCAAAGGAAAGAGAAAGGGGAAAAGUACAGAGAAAGAUGACUGUAUAAAUGAAAAAUCACAGAGAAUAGUCAUCAAGGAAGAAUUGAUGAAGAAACGCAUACCUCCACUUUUCCUCCAAGCUUUGUAUGGGAAAAUCAUACAAAACAAAUCCCAAGUGAGGGAUGCAAACUUCAUAUGGGAUCCGGGCAAGCUAAAUCAGGAUCAAAUUUUUUUAUGGACUUAGUCUUUUUAAAGACUAGCUAGUCCAUAUCUUUUUGUUUUGUUUUUUACUUGUUUUAAUUUUGAUUUUAAUGUUUUAAAUUUUGAUUUAAAUGCUUUAAUUUUGAUUUCAAUGCUUUAAUUUUAAUUUGUUUUGAUGUAAUAUAGGUUUUUGGAUGAUUAAAAUCAAGAGGAAUGUCAAAAGAGUUGAAAGAAGGAAGUUGAGAAUCAAGAAGAGCUCAAAAAGCAAGGAGAGAGCAUGGCCUGCGAAAUUUCGCAGCAAAAGUGAGCCGCUGCGAAAAUCGCCCCCCUCGCUGCGAAAUGGUUUCACAGCCUCCAAGCGCCCUCUGCAAAAAUUUUCACAGCUGCGAAGAGGUCCCUUGGCACACGAGUGCCAUUUCGCAAGCCUGUACACCCGUUUCGCAGCUGCGAAAUGGCUGCGAAACCUCCACGCCUUGAAAUCCUCCAUUUCGCAGCCGAUGAGCCAUUUCGAAGGGUGUUUCGCAACUGCGAAACCACCCUUUGGCACACGAGUGCCACUUCGCAGCACCCGUACGCCCAUUUCGCAACUGCGAAAUGGGCUGUGAAAAUUGCCCUCCUCCGCGAAAUCCACCCCCCGCUACGAAAAUGCUCAAAGCUUCAAAAAUGGGCUGCAAAAUUCCCAUUUUGUUGCCAAAUGAUUUCCAAACUUCCAAAUGGCUGUGAAAUGAUCUCCAAGCUUCAAAAUGGAUGUAAAAUGGCCUCUAAGCUUCAAAAAGGCUACGAAAAAGCUCCAGGCAUCAAAAUGGGCUGCGAAAUGAUUUCGCAGCCCCAUAGCUACCCCUUGUGAAAUCCUCCAUUUUCUGUAAAAAUGGCCUUUUGAUUGCGAAAUGAUUUUCCAAACUUCAAAAUGGUUGUGAAAUGAUUUCCAAACUUCGAAAUGGGCUGCAAAAAUGUUUUUCUUUUUUCCUUUUGGCUUCGAAAUGGCUAAGAAAUGGCCUCCAAGCUAUGAAAUGAUUUGCAAAAACACUUUGCAAAACCAAGGGAAGUUGCAAAAAUGCCAACAAAGCCAUGCAACCAUGCAUCUAAAGAGGAGAGCCCUCUCACUGAGAUCACACACAUGAAGCCUCUCACUCCACUUCUUACCUCCUAAAACCAUAAGAGCCCAUAGCUCCAGUUGAGGAGACUAUGCCACCUAAGGAGACUACCAGAAUAGAGGCCAAAGUCAUGAUCCAACCUACUCAAGAGGCCACCACAGAUGUAUUAACACCACAGAUGCAUCAGCUCCACAGGACCUUACCAUUAUUUGAUCAUCUCUUUACUUUUUGUCUUUACAUAUUAUAUUAGUAUACAUAAUUCCAUGUUUUGAUGUCUUAUAUUCUGGGAUUGGAUGUAUUACUGAUGAUGCAUCAUAUAUAGACAUCAAUUCUUGUUUAAAACUUGGCAUUUUUCUAUUUGCUCUACUCACUAUUUUUUUUGAAACAUGUGGUUUCUCCUAUACGACUCAGACUCCAUGUCACCCAGGAGGUACCACUUCCUCCCUAUUAUUCAAUCGUGUUGUCACAUUGAGGACAAUGUUCAUCUUGGUUGAGGGGAGAGUUGAGGAAGUAAGUUUUGUUAAUAAUGCUAAGUUAUUUUGGUAAUUUAGUUGUUUUUGUUUAAUUUUUAAAAUUUUUUGAAAGUUUUUUAUUCUACUCUCCAUGCUUAUUAAGGAAAAAUUUUCAAAAUGAAAAGGGAGAAAUUGAAUUUUUGUCUUUUUACUUAACUUAGAGUUUGUAUUAUGCUUAUUAAAGUUGAUGAAUUGUUGAAACUUCUAUUGAAUUCAAGCUUAUGUCUUCCACUUUAAGCUAUUCACACACUGUGCACAAUAGGUUCCGAUUAUAAGAUGAAAAACUAUUUCCCUCUUGACUUAGGAAAAUUUAGACUUGGUACCUUUGACAUCAUUUAAUAGUGUUGGGACACCUUAUAAAAGGCCAAUGAGUCUUUGAAAAAAAAAGAAGAAAGAAAAAUGUUUGCUUACCUUGAAACCCGAGCAAGGUCCGAGGGGUAUAUGGUAAAAAUCUUUAAAACCUGGUGCCCUAAGCCUUCAUUGGUUGGGAGUCACCGACCUCAAUACUCGUUACAAGGGUGAAUAUGUGGAGUUUAACAUACUGUAGGUGCUUAGGUAUAAAAAUUCAUUCUUAAAAGUCCGGGGUAAAAUCCGAGGAGUUAGUCGUUGAAAAAUCCUUAAAACUUGAUGCCCAAAACCUUAAUUGGUUGGGAGUCAUCGAUGGAUCCCCAUUACAUGGACAGUUUAGAAAAGAAAUACCUUUAAGCCUUGUACUCCUACAAUGAAAAAAAUUGUGAAAAAAAAAGGUGCGUUCUUAGCCUAUUGGAGGUUGAUCAGUUUGCUAAGCUUUGAAAAAAGAACUAGGUUGGGGGGAGAGAUUAGUUCAACAUACUAUAUUCGGAAGCUAAUAAAUAACACUUAGAUUUUUGUGGAAGAGUAAGGUUUGACCAUUUGGGAGUGGAAACUCUUUUAAAACUUAAAUUUGCAUAAUGCCUUCUCUUUAAGAAUAAUGAUUAGACAAGUUAUUUGAUAACUCUUGUUGAAAUUUGAGUUUUAUUUCUUUAAAUGUUCCAUGUGAGAGGUAGAUCAUCAUGCCACUUGAAAAUUGUUUUUUGAUCAAGCAUGAUGUUGUAAAUUAUAGUAUUGUUUAUUUUUAUUUUUCUCUUCUUCAUUGCUAAGGGACUAGCAAUAUGUCGGUUGGGGGGAGUGAUUACUACUCAAAAAGUGUUAUUUCAUAGCUUGUAAUUAACUCUUUUAAACACUUUUGAGUAGUAGUUAUUACCUUUUAACCCAAUUAACAUGUUAAGGACCCUUGCAAUCAAUUCUAAUAAAAAAUGUGUUAAGUUUUGGUGUUUUGAUAGCUUUUUGAUCACCAAAGCAAUCUGAGAUUGAGGAGAGUUCUUUGGAAUCCAUGCAAGGAGUAUACCCGGAUAGGGUGUUAGGAUACACCAUCGGAGGGCAUCUGGACAAUACAUCCGGAUAGUAGAAGUGCGCCCCCAUUCCAUCCGGCUGCCGCCACUUUACACCUGGAUGCCGCACUUUCCACCCGGAUGUAUCACAUCUGGAAAUCUGCUGUCGCCGCCAUUACAUCCGGAUGUCUCGCAUCCGGCACAUUAUAUCCGGAUAUUUUGCAUCCGGCGCCUGACGCCGGAUGGGAGAGGAGAGCGUUUUGCACAGUGCCGCGGUGUUCUCUUGAAGCUUCCCGAUAUUUGCACCGACAUUUUGGGAUAUUUUGAGAUAUUUUGCUUUAGAUAUUUAAUGUCGGUGUUCUCCUGAAGCUUCCAGAUAUUUACGACCGACACUUUGGGAUAUUUUGCUUUAGAUAUUUUAUGUCUAAAUUCCCAAAGUCUCCUUGUAACCCACCAAUUAUAGGAUUCCUUAGUCUUUAAGUAAGUACAAAGGGUAAAUAACCCCUUAUAUAUAGUGUGUAAUCUUCUUUGAAAGAAGGAUCGGAAUUAGAUCUCGGGAGCCUGUUCCCAAGGAGGUAUAUCCUGGGAGCUUGUUCUCAGAGACGCAUCAUUUGUACAAUUUUGGGAAGGAAGUAAAAUACAGAGUACUUGCUUUGCUUUUGUUUUCUCGUUAUUUUCUUUCUAGCUAAUCAAAUUCUAAGGAUUUUUCCUCAGAGGAUGAGAGGCUAGGCUCUUUGUCUCUUGGAGUGAAGAAAGCCGAGUAAAUUUCCUCAUGCAUAAAUUGGAAGUUUUGUUGUUUUAGUUUUUAAUGAAGAGAAAGUGUGACCCAUUAAUGGUUUUUAUCUUUUUAGUUAACUUAAAACUCCUUUAAAUCACCUGGGCCAACACUUGAUAAGGCAAGUGAUCUCCAUCCAUUGAGAUGCACUAGUUUAUCUCUUGCGAGCCUCUGGGAGGUAGUUUGAAGGUAGGAUUUUCUAGAAUAGCCAACACUUGGUAAGCUUUUGGACUCUACGGAGACAUCCAUUAGUUAUCUCUUGCGAGCUUUUGACGGGUAAUCCAAGGUUAAAGAUCACCUUGAAUGGCAAGUGCUAGGUGAGAGGUAUGAGCCACUGCAAGGUGCAUCAGUGAGAGAGAUUUAGUGUUUGAACCCAUUAAUGGGAAGCAUCUGUACCACACCGGUUCGGGAAAUAACUAUAUGUUAAAUCCUCAAUGCGAGGAAAAUAAACAAGUGACCGGAACUCUCCUUUUUGUAUGAGGAAUCUGAACCCAGUGAUCUAAACUCCAAGAGACACUUUUCUUUAUAAGUAAAAUCAAUUACUAUUUUUGGUUAGUUUAAAACCAAACCUUUUUCCGCUAAAGAUUAUGUUUUCUUUUAAAGCUAACCUUGAAAUGAAAAGGCAUCAAUUCAGCUUUGAAUUAAUAUCAAUUGUAAAGUGAAAACUCAUCCCAGUGAACGAUCCUAGAGCCACUAUGCUAUAGUAGCUUUGUCUUUGCUACCCUAGUUCAUGGUGUAAUAGGUUAUAAAUUUUGUUGAUUACUCCCUCAAUCAAGGAGCACCAGCUGGACAUGAAUCAGCUGAUACACCAAGUGGGCACGAAUCAAUGGUGAAGGUGUUAUCCGGAAAACAACCAAAAAGAAUGAAUGACAUGGAUUAGAAGGAUUUGGAAGCAAAGGUUGCGGCAACUAUCAGGCUUUGUUUGGCUGAUAAUGUGAUGUACCAUGUCAUGGAUGAGGAAUCAUCGACGAUAAUUUGGUUGAAAUUGGAAAGUCGGUAUAUGUCUAAGUCAUUGACGAACAAGUUGUAUCUGAAGUAAAAACUGUAUGGUCUUAAGAUGGUAGAGGGCUCAGAUCUAAGCCAGCAUAUCAAUGUGUUUAAUCAUAUCAUUAGUGAUUUGAAGCGAAUUGAUGUGAAGUUCGAAGAUGAAGACAAGGCGUUGAUGUUAUUGAAUUCCCUUCUUGCUUCUUCUACAUAUGAAAAUCUAGUUACAACUCUGAUGUGGGGAAAAGAAACUCUUGAUUUGGAGGAUAUCACAAGUAUUCUUUUAGGAUUCAAUAAGAAGAAGAAAGCCAAUAAUGAGAGUUCUCGGGGUGAAGGGCUUGUGGCAAAAAGUAAUCAGGAACGUGGGAGAAACAAGUUUCGGAGCGAAUCGAGUAACAAUAAAUCUCGAUCUAAAUCCAAGAAGAGAAAUGACAUACAAUGUUAUAAGUGCGAAAAAAAUAGGGCACAUGAAACGAGAUUGUCCAGAGAAAAAGAAAGAGGGCUCGGUAUCGAAAAAUAAAGAGGGUAUCAAAGUCUACAAAUGCAGUGGUAGAAGAAGACUCAGAGAGUGGUGAUGGUGAUAUGUUGUUGGUUUCAUCCAGUUCAAAUCAUCUUACAGAUUCUUGGAUCUUAGAUUUAGCAUGGUCUUAUCAUAUGACACCCAAUAAAAAUUGGUUUAACACAUACAAGUUAGUAAAUUCUGGUUCUAUUAUGAUAGGUAAUGAUGUUUCAUGCAAACUUGCUGGAAUAAGGAAUAUCAUAAUUAAAAUGUUUGAUGGUGUUGUUAGAACAUUGUGUGAUGUUAGACCUAUACUUGAUUUAAGAAAAAAUAUGAUUUCUUUGGGGACUUUAGAUUGUAAUGGGUUUAGUUACAAGUCUACAAGUGGAGCAAUGAAGGUGAGUAAAGGUGUUAUGAUAGUGAUGAAAGGGCAGAAGCUAGCAAGUAAUAUUUAUAAACUGUUAGGUUCCAUAGUUGUAGAUGCAGUUGCAACUGUAGAGUCUGAGUCAGAUAGUACAGUUUUAUGGCAUAUGGGUGAGCGUGGGAUAAUGGAGCUUUAUAAGAGAAAUUUGUGUCAAAACAUGUAAACUUGAUUUAUGCAAGUAUUGUGUUUUUGGGAAACAGAAUAAAGUGCAGUUCAAGAUAGCCACACACAAAACAAAGGAGUUUCUUAACUAUGUUCAUACAAAUGUUUGGGGACCAAUGAGAGUAGCAUCAUUGGGAGGAAAUAUGUAUUUUGUGACUUUUAUUGACGAUUACUCACUAAAGGUUUGGGUGUACUUCAUGCGGCACAGGUCAAAAACAUUUUCCAAGUUUAAGUUAUAGAAAGCUGAAGUAGAAAACUAGACAGGGAGAAAGAUAAAGUGCCUCAGGUUAGAUAAUGGUACUGAGCAUACAGAUUCAAAAUUCACAAAAUUGUGUGAGCAGCAUGGGAUAAAAAGACACUUCAUAGUAUGCAAGACACCAGAACAGAAUGGUGUAGCAGAAAGGAUGAACAGAACAAUAGAUGAAAGAGCUUGAUGUCUCAGAUUGAAUAUAGGGCUUGAAAAGAAAUUUUGGGCAGAAGCAAUGAACAUGGCAUAUUACUUGAUCAACAGGUCACCCAGAGCAGCAUUAGAUGGGAAAGUAGUAGAAGAGGUAUGGACAGGCAGUCCGAUAGAUUACUUUGGUUUGAGAGUAUUUGGGUGCCCAACUUAUGUGCAUAUUUCUAAUGAGGAAAGAUCGAGCUUGAUGCGAAGUCUAGACAAUAUGUUUUUUUGGGGUAUCAGAAAUGGGUGAAAGGCUUCAAGCUCUGGGAUCCAAAGGCAAACAAGGUGGUGAUCAGUAGAGAUGCGAUUUUUGAUGAGAAAGUCAUGUUACAGUGUACUCAGAAAUGAGAGAAACAGGAACCAAAAAAUGGCAGCAAUAGUGAGCAACUGAUACAGGUGGAAUUAGAGACCCAUGAUAUAGAGGAUCGUGCUCGAAAUGUAAGGAAGUCUAGUUCAGAAGAUUAAAAGCAUCACAGUAUAACCACAAACAGACAUAGACGCACUAUCAAGCCACCUACCAGGUAUGGUUUUGAAGAUUUGGUUUCUUAUGCACUAAUUACUAGUAGUAGGGAUCCUACUACCUUUCAAGAGGCAAUACACAACUAAAAGAAAAGUGGAUGGAUGGGUGCUAUGGUGGAGGAGACUUAGUCUUUUGCAUAAGAACCAGACAUGGGAGUUGGUGGAGCUUCUAGAGAGGAAGAGAGGAAUAUGAUGUAAGUGGGUGCACUAGAAGAAAGAAACAGUUUCAGAAAAAAAUAGUGAAAGGUUCAAAGCUCGUUUAGUAGCAAAGGGUUACUCAUAGAGGAAAGAGGUUGACUAUGAUGGGAUUUUUUCCCCCCGUGGUCAGACACACUUCCAUUAAGAUAGUGUUGGGCUUAGUAGCACAUUUUGACAUGCAGUUGGAGCAAAUGGAUGUAAAGACAACUUUUCUUCAUGGUGACUUAGUGGAAUUGGUUUAUAUGGUACAACCAUAAGGGUUUAUUCAACCUGGACAAGAGCACUUGGUCUAUAAAUUGAGAAAAUCACUUUAUGGGUUGAAGUAAUCCCCAAGGCAGCGGUACAAGCGAUUUGACUCCUACAUGAUCAAGAUUGGCUACAAGAGAUGUGAGUAUGAUUAUUGUGUUUAUGUAAAAAGCCUAGAUGAUGAUUCAUUUAUUUUUCUAUUACUCUAUGUGGAUGACAUGUUAAUUGCUACAAAGAGUAUGAUUAAGGUCAAUAAGUUGGAGUCUUUGUUGAGCAAGGAGUUUGACAUGAAGGAUUUAGGUGCGGCCAAGAAGAUCCUUGGGAUGGAGAUUCAUAAGGAUAGAGUUUCAGGGAGACUAUGGUUAUCUCAGCAUAGCUAUGUCAAGAGAGUGUUGAAGAGGUUUAACAUGGAUAAUGCAAAACUGGUAAGUACACCCUUAGCAGAUCAUUUCAUAUUGUCUACUAAUUAAUGUCCAAAAAUAGAUGAUGAAGUAAAAGACAUGUCAAAGGUUCCUAAUGCAAGUGCAGUGGGAUGCUUGAUGUAUGCUAUGGUUUGUACAAGACCAUAUUUGACACAUGUUGUUAGUGUGUUGAGUAAGUUUCUAUCAAAUCCGGGAAUGCAUUGGGAUGCAAUAAAGUGGAUCUUUAGAUACUUAAAGGGUACUACAGACUAUGGCAUCAUGUUUAGCAAACAACAAAGUAAUCCUUCAAUUAAGGGAUAUGUUGAUGCAGACUAUGCAAGAGACUUGGAUGAUAGGAGGUCUACCACAGGUUAUGUAUUCACCCUUGGUGGAGGACCUAUUUGUUGGAAGCCUAUGAUACAUUCUCUAAUUGCACUAUCUACUACCGAGUCAGAAUAUAUGGCAAUAGUUGAGGCUGCAAAGGAAUCAUUAUGGCUUAUAGGUUUGGUCAAGGAGUUGGGUAUUCAACAAGGUGGAGGUCAAUUAUAUUGUGACAAUCUGAGUGCCAUUUAUUUGGCAAAGAACCAGGUGUAUCAUGCAAGGACCAAACAUAUAGAUGUGAGGUUUCAUAAGAUCAGGGAAUUGGUUUCUUUUGGUGAAUUGUUACUUGAGAAGGUUCACACCUCUGAGAAUGCAGCAAACAUGUUGACAAAGCCUGUUACCACAGAAAAGUUCAAGCAUUGCUUGAACUUGAUUAAUGUCUCCAGAUGUUAGAUAGGAGAUUCCCUAACCUAUUGUCUCAGGUAGAGUUACUAGUUAUGUUUCUUGUUUCCUAAGGGGGGUGAUUAUUUGCCAAGAUGGAGAUUGUUGUAGUAUGUGGCUCAUAUUGAAUGAAAGACAUAUGGAGAAAAAUAGGCAAAUGUCGGAGCGACGACAUUUUCCAUUCAAGCUUGUAUUUUUAUUGUUGUGGGCGAACGAUAGGUUAGGGGGGGGGGGGGGGGGAAAAAAAAAAAAAAAAAAAAAAGGGGGGCAAAUCCCCCCGGGGGAUGGGGGAGGGGGAUUUUUUGGAAUUUUUUUUUUUGGGGGGUAGAAAAAAACCCCUUUUUUAAAACCCUAAUUUUUAAAAAAAGGGAAAGUUUUUUUCCCGUUUCCCGGGGGGGGGGGGAAGGGGUGGAACCCCGUAAAACCGGGGGGUUUUUUUUUUUUUUUUUCCCAUUUUUCCCCCAAAAUCUUUGCUAAAAAUCCCCCAUAUUUUUUUUUAAAAAAAAAAAAAAAAAAAAAUUUUUUGUUUUUAAUUAAAAAAGAAAAAAAUUUUAAAAAAAAUUUUUAUUUUUUGUUUUUUUUUUGGGGGGGGGAAAAAAAAANNNNNNNNNNNNNNNNNNNNNNNNNNNNNNNNNNNNNNNNNNNNNNNNNNNNNNNNNNNNNNNNNNNNNNNNNNNNNNNNNNNNNNNNNNNNNNNNNNNNCAUAUUGAAUGAAAGACAUAUGGAGAAAAAUAGGCAAAUUUUGGAGGGAGGACAUUUUCCAUUCAAGCUUGUUUUUUUAUUGUUGUGGGCGAACGAUAGGUUAGGGGGGGGGGGGGGGGGAGAGAGAGAGAGAGAGAGAGAGGGGGGGCAAUGCCCCCUGUGGUAUGGUGUAGGGGUAUUUUUGGAAUUUCAUUACUUGAGGGUUAGUAUAAAUACCCUUUUUAUAUAACCUUAAUUUUAGAUAUAGUGAAAGUCUUCUUCCCUGUUCCCGUGGACGUAGGCAAUGUGUUGAAUCACGUUAAAUCUGUGUGUUUUUCUUUUCGUUUUCUCUAAUUUUCACCAUAAAUCAUUGCAUAAAACUCAACAAUAUUAGUUAUGAAAGAAAAAAAAAAAAAAAACUUGUAAGUAUCAAAUGAAACAAGAAAAAUAGUUAAAGAAAAGUUUUAAUUAUUGAUAUUAGUUAUGGUAGGGAAAAAAAUAACCUAUAAAGUAUCAAAUUAAACAACAAAAAUAGAUAAUUUAAAAAAAAAAUUAUUAAAAAUUAAAAAAAAAUUCAAACAAUAUUUCAAAAGAUUUUUUUAAAAAAAAAAUAGAAAGAAGUAUGAUUAUAAAUUUUUAAGAAUUUAACAUUUUUUUUUUAACAAAACUUAAAAAAAAAAAUCAAUAAUUUUUUUGUUAGAAAUUAUUAAUAUAUUUAGUUACUAUAUUAGAAUUAUAUAUUUAGUUAGUAUAUGUUUAUUUAUUUAGUUACCAUAUCUCUUAUUUAAUUAAUUAUUAUAUUGGAAUUAUUAUUAUUUUUAGAAGUAAUGGUGCAUUAGUUUUUAUUUCCUUUUAUUAGGUCUAUUUAAAUUCUAAUGGUAUUAUACCUAUUUUUAAAAGAAUUUAUGAUAAGAAAUUUUAAAUUUUCUUUUCUGUCUUUUACUCUUUGAGUCCCUUUUGGAUUUCAAUAUUUCUAAUAAAUUUUAAGUAUUUUUUAAAAAUAAUUAAAUUGAUAAAACUUUUAUUUAAAAUUUAUUUCUAACAAUAUAAUAUAGAGGCAGCACCAUUAUUAUCAAUUGUAAAUUUGUUGCGUCAAGAUUAAACCUAAAAGCUUAGGUAUUUUAAAAAUAUUAAAGUCAACCAAAACAACCUGCCACUAAAAAAAAUUCUAAAAUUUUGGGAUAAUGAAUAACACACAAUUAAAAUAAAAUCAUGAAAAUAAAAGAAUAUAUAUAUAUAUAUAUAUAUAAAUAAAAUCAUGAAAAUAAAAGAAUAUAUAUAUAUAUAUAUAUAUAUAUAUAUUUCUUCUUUCACUAAUUCAAUCUAGUAAAUAAUUUAAUCACCAGUAAAAUAAAAAGGAGAGAAGACAUACCUUGCUAGGGUUAAAGAAAGCUUUGAUCCUUUGGAAACUAGAGAAUUCUUUCUUGGCUGGGUGAUCUUCUCUAUCACCAAGGCUUCCUCUUGAUGGCUGAGGCCAAUAGAUCUGAUCUUGGGCGUAUAUAAGAUGUAUCCCACAACUUUUCAAUUUAAAGGAUUCGUUAUCGCCACAUCGAAAAGAGCCACCGCCCAUUGGAGUGUAAAGAGCCUUCAAGGUGUUCCACCGACUGGAUCGAAACUUACUUGGAAUGUGAAUUUGAGGGAAAUAGGUCACCCACAAUGCUGGAUCUGAUGUAGCACGACUAUCGUAGCAUAUGUAGUCAUACGAUAAACAUCGGAGAUAGUAGCCUUUACAUUCUGGAUCAAACCAUAUAUCACCAAUUUGUUUAGAUUGAUCACCAUGGGAUAGUGUCAAUAUACAUCGUGGAAAAUCGUCACAUGUGGUCUCACAUUCACCAUCAUCAAGAGGAACAUGAUGGAAGAAUAAAACAAAUCCCAACAAGUUGUUAUCUUCACGCCAAUUCAUUGGAAGCAAGCUCUACUGUUACUUCACAUCCCAUUCUCUGAUGACUUACCCACUCUGGUAUUCCACUACUUCCUGGAAUAACAAUAUUGCAUUGCUGCAGAAAAAUGUCAUGUAAAUCUCAUGCAAGAAAAAAAUAAAAAAUAAAAAAUAAUAAUUAUGCCAUGAAAAUGAUACUGAAAUUUUGAUAUAGAGGGUUCGAGGAGAGACCAGAGGAAUAGACUCGAGGAUGUUUCAGUUUCCAGACAUGGACAACCAUGUGCCUCUAUUCGUGUUAGACUUGAUGGAAGCUCUGCAAUUUCUUCAAGCAUCGGACAGUGAUUCAUGAGAAGGGUUUCGAGAUUAGAAAGUUGAGUGAUGCCAACAGGUAUGCAAUGAAUAUGGUUUUCACUUGCAUCUAAAAAUUGCAGUAAGGAUAAGCACCAUAAAUCACUGGGGAUUUCUCCUUCCAUCAUAUUGCAACCACCUAGAUCUAGACUUCUUAAGCAACAUCAUAAGCUUCUCAAGUUGUUGGGCAACUUGUGGAGCUUUGAAUAAUUACGAACAGAAAGACUUGCAAGACGUGUCAAAUUACCAAUGUUGCUGGGAAGACUCACAAGCUUCUCACAUUUGUACAAUUCCAAAUCCCAAAGACCUCUUAGAUGUUCAAUUGAUGAUGGCAGCUCUGUUAUAGCCAUUUCACGCAAAUAAAGGCAUUCUAAAUGUUCCAUAUCCUCUGUGAUCUCCCAAAAAGUUUCUAUAUUUGAACAACCAUUAAGAGAGAGGCGUUUGAGGGAUUUCAACCCACAGAUACUAUUUGGAAGACUUCUCGUUAAAUUUGGGUGAGAUGACCUAUUGAACUUUUCUGGAUCUCAAGAAACUUUUCAAAAUUUGAGCAACCACUGAGUAAAAGAGUUUCAAGGGCCUCUAAGCACCUAAUACUCUUUGGGAAUUCCUUAAUAGCGGUCUUCUCUAAAGAAAGUCUCUUUAAGCAUUUCAUGCUCCCUUGGAUCUCCGGGAAUUUUUGAAAGUUUGAGCACUCUGAGAGGUCAAGACUUAUAAGAGAUUCUAAAUAUCCAAUGCUGUCAGGGAGUUCCAUAGUACCACUCUGAGAUAAAUCAAGCUCCCUUAGAAGUCUCAUAUUGGUAAAUAUAUCUGAAAAUUUCUCAAACUUUAAACAUUUAUUAACAUAAAGAAUUUCGAGAGAUGUUAAGGACCCAAUGCUAUCUGGGAGUUCCUUAAUAGCAGUCUGAUGUAAAGAAAGUUUCUUCAAACAUUUCAUAUUCCUUCUAAUCUCUAGAAAUUUCUCAAAUUUCAAGCAAUAUGUGAGGUCAAGAGUUUCGGGAUAUUCCAAAUACCCUAUGUUGUCCGGGAGUUCUUUAAUACCACUUUCACGUAAAUUAAUCUCCCUUAAAUGUCCCAUAUAGGUAAAUAUAUCUGGAAAUUUCUCAAACUUUGAACAUCCUUUUAACCAAAGCUUCCUCAAAAACUUCAUAUUCCCAUGGAUCUCUGGAAAUUUCUCCAAGUUUGAACAAUUUGAGAGAUCAAGGACUUCAAGAGAUGCUAAAUGCAUGAUGCUACUUGGUAGUUCUCUAAUCCUAGUUUUGUUUAAAUAAAGCUCCUUCAAAUGUUUCAUAUUCCCAUGGAUCACAUCAAACUUCUCCAAGUUUUGACAAUGAUAAAGAUAAAGAACUUCAAGAGAUUCAAACUUCAUGCUAGUUGGGAAACUUUGGAGCUGUUCACAUCCUCCUAAAUUCAAGUAGGUCAAUCUUUUGAGAUGGCCAAUAGAUGAAUGAAGUUUACGCAAACUUGUACAACCUUUAAGAUUCAGUCUCUCCAAAUUCGCCAUGCUUGAGAAUUUUGGCAUUUUGACUAGGUGUUUUGAAUUACUUAGAUCAAUGCCCUUUAAUUUUCCAAGACACUGCAACAUAAGACAUUCUUUUAAUAAAACAAAAAUUCUUUUAACUUGAAAAUUAUCCUAAAGAAAAAAACAUUAAAUAAUGAUCAUACCUUAUUCCCUUUCCAAAGUUGUUUUAUGUUGCUAGACUUCAAGUUGAUUUCAAUAAGGUUCUCUCCAUAAAAUUUUGAAGGCAAAGACCUCAAAGUGCAUCCUUGCCAAUGAAGAUAUCUCAAAUUAUGAGGAAAUUCAAAAUCUUUAGGAAAAAACACUUUAUACUCCUCUCUCUUCAAACCAUCAUGAUCAUUGCAAUGGACUUUGAGCAACCUAAGUUUCUUCAUCUUGGCAAACACUUUUGUAGUGAACUGUAUUUCUUUUGAUCUAGACAAGUCGAGAGAUAUGGUUUGAAUACUUUCCAUCCCCUGGAAACAAGAAUGAAGAAUAAGGGAAUAACACAAGAUAAAAAUCCUAACUAAAAUUUUAUAGGCAAUUAAUCCUUAAAAAUGCAUUAUAAAUAUCUAAAUAACUAAGUUCAUAUAUUUAAUUCAUACCUCUUGUCUAGAAAAUGCAUCAUAAAUAUCAUCUACAUCCCACAAUCUGCUCCAUUUACUUAGGUCUCCAGGACAUUCUUCAUGAACAAUUGCCCAACCCAUUUCUUGUAUCAAGUCAUGCAUUUGUAUGAUGUUUUUUGAAAUAGUUACUAGACAUCUAUCACAAAGAACUCUUAUGUUGUAUGUUGCAAAUAAAUUGCAACCAUCUAAUAUUGUCAACAUAUAUAUAAUCUUUGUCUUCCCCUUUGAAGAAACAUGCAAUGUCAAGGAAAACCUCCUUUUCAAAAUGAUCAAGCCCAUCAAAACUUAUUCUAAGCACAUCAUUAAUUUUCUUGUUAGCAUUUUUUUUUCAAUUUAUCCAAUGCACUUUUCCAUUCAUCUAUUGCCAUGCCAUGGAGAGAAGAACCUAGAACUUUAAGGGCUAAAGGAAGACCUUGAGCAUAAUGUACCAUGCAAUUUGAGAGGUUUACAUAAUCUUCUUUGGGAACAUUUUGUUUAAAGGCAUGUCUACUGAAGAGUUGAAUAGCUUCCUUAUAAUGUAAUUGCUCAACCUUAUAUGAUAUAUCCACUCCAUACUCACCCAGCAAAUGUUGGUCUCUAGUUGUUAUGAUAAUUAUGCUUCCUAUACCAAACCAUUUAAGACUUCCAACCAAUAACUUUAAUUGCUCCAAAUGAUCCACAUCAUCAAUAACAAUAAGAACUUUUUUUGAGUCAAGUCUAGCCUUUAUUAUAUUGAUUCCUUUAUUGAUAUUGCUAAACUCUACAUCAUUCCCCAUUGUAUCAUGUAGAAGUUGUUGUUGUAGUUGAAGUUGACAACCCUUGUUGAAUGUCUCUCUGACAUCUUGAAGAAAGCUUGCACUGGUGAAUUGAUAUUGGAUCUCAUUAUAAACAAUCUUGGCAAUGGUAGUUUUACCAAUUCCACCAGGUCCAUAGAUCCCAACCACACGAAUGUCAUUCAAGUCACUACUUAACGAUUUUAGUUCUUUCAGGUGAAAAUCCAUCCCAACUAUAUCAUCGUUAAUAUGCAAAAGCUUAGAAUUCAUUGAUCUUUUAAAAAUCUGGUUAACAAUUUCCUUAAUAUGCUUUGACUCAUACCUGCCAAUUAUAAAGUACAAUUUAACACUUCAUGAGUUAUAAUGAAUUGCAAAAGAUAACAAAUAUAAAGUAAAUUUAGUGACAUUUACUUGCUUUUGUCAAUAUAAUAAAAGUAAUAGGAUGUAAAAAAUAUUAAAAGAACCCACUAUAUUGAGCAUUUUAUAGAUAAUGAAAAGGCAAGUAGUUUUGAGGCAAGUGUUAAUAAGAUCACAAAGCAAGCUUUACUAUACAAAAUUAUUAACUCGUUAAUUCAUAAUUUAAGACAACUAAAUCUUUACAACUAAUUAAAUCAAAAACACAAAUUAAGGAAGUUGAAGCUACCCAUCAUUCACAUGGAAACCACUAAGAUUGCUUGCUUCAGUCAAGGAAUCCCUCCACCUUUGCACCUUUUUCGCAUCUACAUUUCUUUCAUGAAUGGAAAAUGCCUCUCCGAAGCUCCCUGUUUGCUUUCGCACAUCACAAGGAUCCACGUGGUAGAACACCGGAAAGACUAUUUGUUCCAUUUCUUCCCUGCACUCCAUGAUCUUCGCUAACUCAUCCAAACACCACUUGGAAUGAGCAUAGUUUUUUGAGAACACAACUAUGGAAAUUCUUGAUUCUUCAAUACUUUUCAAAAGUUCUGAUUUGAUCUCCUCUGCUCCUUCAAGUUGAUCGUCUCUGAAAGUCUUAAUCCUCAUCCCAUGCAAAUUUACGAAUAAAUGAUCCGUAAAAUUGUUGCGGGUGUCUUCACCUCUAAAACUCAAGAACACUUCGAACUGAUAUUUACGGACUGAGGUAGAAGAAGAAGAGGGUUUUUGGGUAGAGGAAGCCAUCGUUGGAGUUGAGGAAGAACUUGUUCUUAGUCAAUACUUGAUAUGCCCACAGCAUGUUUGGGUCCUCAUAUGAAGCAAAACUAUUUUUCUUUUUUUUUUCUUUUUUUUUUUCUUUUUUUUUGGUGGAGUGGUUAGAUUGUAAAAAGCAAAGAUCGAUUUUCCCAAUACAUGCAAGCAGGUGAUUUGUCAGUUAAAUGUAAAGGAGUAAUGAGUGGGGAGGUCGGUGGCUUUUAAGAAGGGCCCACCCACCACAAAACCCGUAAAAGCCUUAAAUUAAAAUUUCAGUUUUCGGUAUUAUGGCCAUCGACGCUUUCCUUUGACCAGUCAAAACCUUUCAUUACAAUUGCCAUAGAUUGUAAAGUCUUUCAAUUCUAUUGCCACGGUGCAAUUUAAUAUAUAGUUUAUUCCUCCCUCCUAAAUUUUAACUUAAAUUCAAUUAAUUUUAAUUAUUUUUUUAUAUUCUAUUUAAUAUAUUAUUAAAAAUAUAAAAAUAUCAUAAUAAUCUUACCAGAGUCUUUCUUUAUUAAAAAAAAUAAACUUGGAUAUAAAAUUAUUAAUAUUUUUAAACAUAAAAAUAUAUGCAUAUAUCAUUAUUUUUUAUUUUAAAUAAAAAUCAUCAUUUUAAAUACAUACUUGAUUACUAAAAAAAAAUAAAAAUUUUAAUAAAUUAAUUAAUUUUAAUUAUCUUAUUAUUAAAUUUCAUUUAGCAUAUUAUGAAAAUGUAAAAACCAUAAUAAUAAUGAUUUACUGAAAACAAUCUUUUAUGUUUUUUGUAUAUUAAUUAUUUAUAAAUUUAUAUAUAUCAAAUUUAAAAAGUAAAUUAAAAAAUAAUCAUACAUAUAUCAUUAAUUAUUUUAUACCCUAAAAUACAUUCAAACUAAAUAGAACAUUAUUUUUAUAAUAAAUGUGGUAAGAUACUUUAUAAACUUAUUUAUGUUACUCGACGUACCCCUCUUCUUUAUUUUUAAGUUUUUAUUUUUCACUUUACAAACCAUCUAUGUUACUAAAUGUAUCCCUCUUUUUGUUUUACAAUUUUUAUAUUCUUUCAACUUUUCAAACUCAAUAUUCCUUUUAAAAAAAAAUUAAUUUUUAAAACUUUUUCUUUUAUAAAAAGUUUCUAAAACCAUAAAUUUUUUAGAUAAAUUUUAUUAUUAUAUUUUUCAUUAAAAAUGAAUAAUAACAUUGAAUUUUUUUAUAAGGAUGAAUCAUAAUAUUUCAAAAUUUCACAUAAAAUCUCAAUUACUUGAAAACGUAUGUUAAAUUAUAAGGAAUAAGUAUAAAUAAAGAGAUAAUAAUUAUUUCAAUAAAUAAUGAUAAAUUUUGCCAUAAUAAAAAAUAUAAAUUAUGCAUUUUUUUUUGUUAAAAGCCGAUCAUAUCAUCCACAAUACAAACUAAAGUGCAGGCUGUGUUGUCGGAUGAGGAACCCUUCUGGGGUCUUUUCCUUUUCGUAGAACCUUCAUAUUGCUUCCACAUUCUAUAAGGGUUCGUGUUGCAAGUAGGGAAAGGAAGGGAGAAAGAAACCUAAGAAAAGGACUUUUGAGUGCACUUUCAUGCAAAGUUCGAGGAAUCGAACAAAGAAGAGAACUCUUUAUCCAAGAAAACAUGAAUGUAAAUGGAGUAAAUAGAACGAAAACUGGAAUUAGUAUAUAAAGAUGAAGAAAGAGGUGGGUUUUCCUCACUUGAACACCGAUAACACAAGAUUGGUAGCUUGAUGCUAAUGGAAGAGGAAAAAACAAGAAUGUCGUGGUGUGGUAAUAGUGUUAUUGAGACUCCAAAAGGAAGGAUGUCAUAACUUUUGAAAUUUGAAAAGGCAUGGUAUGUGUGUCAUCGGUAGGAGGCAAAAGAAACCCCCAAAGGAGGCUUGAAGGUACAUUGGUUUGAGUGUCCAAUACAAAAAAAUUCCAAGGUCUGGAAAAUCAAGGAAAAUAUAUUCCCACUUAAAUGAAAAAGAAUUUUCCGUUUGACCUCAGCUAAGGGUCAACGAAAAAUUGAGGGCAAUUGUGGGCACCAUGGUAAAUGGGGAUAAACGGGCCUACCUAAAGAACUAUCUGCUGAUUUGGGCCAGUUUGGGCCUCGAUUAAAAGCCCAUUUAGCCUAAUUGCCCGACUUACUUAAAUAGCCCAACAAGUAAAGUGGAAAAUAAAAUGUGGGAGAACAACCCACAAGAAGUAGUGAAGGCAAUUAACGCUUGGGGCAGUAAUUGCUUGAAGUGGCUAAAAAGUGUCCCCAUGAUCUCCACACCUAUCGGUAGCUAAAAGGUAUAUGAAUACAACUGGCAAGUCUAAAAAGCAGAAAAAAAAAAAAAAAAAGGAUUGUAACAUGAGAAAUAUUACAUUUUCUAGAAAACCCUAGGUAACUUAAUAAUUGGAGGAGGUGAUUCCGGGGUAAAACUGAGUGAGCCCUGUGUGGCAAGGAUAAGGAAGCGCGCGAUAAGAAUAGGACUAUUGCUCAAGAAAUUCUCAACUCCAAUAGGCAUUACUUUACAAAAUAUUUUAAAAUGAUGAAAAUAAAAUAGGAAGUUUUAAUUUUGGUAGGUAGGAAGGAAAUAAUUGAGAAGUUUUUUUUUUUUUUUUUUUUUUAAAGUAAAAAUGAUAGCACUAGAGUCAAGAUUUUGCAAUGCCUUAAUUCUAUCAUAAAAUGAAUUUAUGUAUACUUACACAAAAUUUUCAAUAGAUGAUUACUAUAAGAAAAAAAAAUCCACCUUUUUUUAGCUUUAUUUUUAAUAUGAUUCUCAUUCUUAAAAUAAUAAAAUUUAAGUAAGUGUGUGUUUUUUUUUCUUCUGUUAUUAUCAAUUAUAAAAUUCAAAAUCUUUUCAUUUGAUUUGUUAAUGCUAUGUUUGGUUUAAGAAUUGUAAUAAAUAAAGAAAAUUAUUUUCUCAUAUUUGAUUUUAUUAUAAAAAAUAAAAAAAUAUAAUUAAAAUUAAUUAAAAACUUAUAUAUUUUUAAAUGAUUUAUUUUUAUAUAAAAGUAUUAAAUUAAAUAAAAUGAGUUUGAAGUGAUGUAUAAAAAUAAUUUAUUUCCUUUAAAUCUAUUUUUAUUUUAUAAUAGAAUCCAAAGUUUUAUAAUGCUUAAACGCGCGUAGAAAGAGAGCAAUCAAGCUUCAUGUGCUAGUAAUUUUUUUAUUUUUUUAUUUUAGUAUUUCUUGUUUGGAUUGAAACAAAAUCAACACAUCAUACAAAAUUAUAAUAAACUUUUAAUUUUCAAAUAGAUUAAGUGUAUAUUAUAUUUAUACAUAAUGCUAAAUCAUAGAUGCUUCAAAAAAUUACGUAGGAUAACUAAUUAUUUUUCUAUUAAAAAAAUAAAUGAUGUCAUUAAUUGUUGUAAACUAAUUUACAUUAUGGGAUGAUGAGUUGGUUGGUCAUUCUAUCAUCUUCAAAAUCAUCCCGGAAAAUAAAAGUAGUCCCAUAAUUAAUGAUUAAAUAAAAACAUUUUUUUUUCAUUUUUUAAAAAAAUAAAAUUUUAAUUUUAAUUUCUUCCACUCCUAUGAGGUGGCUAGUAAAGGUGGUUAAGAAACCAAAUGCUUGUACAUUUUCUGUUCUUUUCUUUUCUUUUAAUAUUACAUUUAUCAUGUUUUUAUUUUUUCAUUUAUGUAUUAAAAUUUUUAAAGGCGACUUCCUUAUUUAAUAAGAGAAGUAAGUGUCUCUCCCAAUUAGAGUUUAUAAUACCCCUUGGUUUUUUUUUUUUUAUUAUUAUUAUAGAAAGUUGAAUAAUUUAAUCAUAAAACAAGAGCAAGUGUGGAAAAUUAUAGUCCUAUAUAAAAUGUAGGAGCUCUCAUAAAUUUAUCUUGAAAAAAUAAUAAUUUUAAAAAAUCAAUUCUUAUACAAAAUUAGGUAUUAAAAAAAAAAAAUUGACUACCUCAAAUUUUAAAAAUCUUGAAAGUAAUUUUUAAAAAUAUAAAAUUUAUGGUCCAUGCAAGUUAUUGGAUUUCAUAUAUAAAUAGCUAUUAUUUUCCUUUUUUACAAAACAUGGAAUUAGUAAGCCGGAGGGCACUUAGACACAUAUACAUUAAAAUCGAGGGAAAUAUGGUAUCCUCAUUUUUUUUUUUUUUUUAUGAAAAAUUAAAGAAAAUGAAUAUGCCUAAAUAAAUGGUUUGUAUGGAUUGAGAUUAUUAUAAGAUGAAAAUGACUACACUCCAAUAUGCUAAUAUUCAUGCCAUAUUUUAGUCGUGUUAUCAUGUUACAUCAAAAUUAUCAUCCUGAUAUUUUUUUUAUAUAUAAAUUUAAUAAUAUGGUACAUAACUUUUGUAGAACAAAAAGUUUAUAAGCUAGUCUUGCUAAAUAAUUGAAGCUACUUUGGUCACUAUGCAUAUGAUCUUAAUAGAUAAAUGAGGAUAAUUUAUCAUUGUUUCAAAAUCAUUCUUGAAAAUGCUUGUAAAUAAUUUCAAAUAAAUAAAAUUAUCCAUACCUAAAAGCAUACAAAUUAAAAUCAACAAUUCAAAUUAUCCAUACUUAAAAACAUACAAAUUAAAAUUACUAAUUCACAUUAUACAUGCUUAAAAACAUAUAAAUAAAAAUCCACAAUCCAAACAAAGUGUCUCUUUUAUGGCAUUCUCAUUCUGGUUCAAUACCGCAUCUCUACCAUCCUUCCAAUUCCAUAACCAAUAGUUAGUCUAGUUUCCAUGCGCAACCUGACCAAUGGUUAGUCAUAGUUUAAUGAGCAUAUUAUGACAAUAAUUAUCCUGUGCUUUUUCAUCUUUAGAAAUGAAACAAAGAGCAAAAUAAAUAUUAAUUCAUGCUAUGUAAUUGAAAAACAUAUGAUAAUUGUUUUGGUCUACCAAUUAAAAAAUGAAGCUCUAAAUAAAAAUUUUAAUUAAUUCAAACAAAAACUCUGGCCUACCAAAACAGCUACGGUAAUAUGGUUUUUCUUUCUAAAUUCAUUAGUUCAUUCCAAAGAUAAAACUUUGAUAGGUUCUAAGAUAUUUAUUAGAAAAAAUAAAGGAGUUUUAACUUUAGAUUGGCCUAAGAAUACAGGAUCUCCAAAUUUCAUAAACACUUGGAAUAAUUAAAAAUAAAAUAAAAUAAAAUAAAAUAAAUACAUAAAAAGGAAAAAAGAAAUUUGAAUUUCCUGACCAUAUCUAAUUCUGUAUUGAACUCUAUAUUCUUCCAAGCAUGUAAUCAUUUUAAAAUAUGUCUAUAUAUUUUUUUCCAUUAAUUCUUCUAAAUAUUUUAAACCUUAUGGAGUAGAGUUGGAAACCACAGAUAUCUUCAUUUUUUUUUAGUAUGAUUUCUUUUCAUAAAAACCUUUUAUUGUAUUGUAAUGAGUAAAUAAAAAAAAUAUAGACAUAAACUGAGAAGCAUGUAAGUUACAUGUUUCAAACAAUCUUGAUAUGGCCUUAAAGGAGUGGUUGAGUUAGAUAAGUAGGGGGCAAAGUAAAUUCUUUUUUUUUUUUCAUAAAAAAAACAUGAAAUAUAAUAAACAUACAAAUUUUUUUACAUUUCAUGAAGUGCUUUAUCAUUUAACAAAAUAAGUGAUUAUUGAUAUUAGUUAUGAAAGAAAAAAUAUAUAAAAUAAAAAAUGAAACAACAAAAUAGAUAAAGAAAAGUUUUAAUUAUUGAUAUUAUUUAUGAAAGAAAAGAAGAUAUAAAGUAUGAAAUGAAACGACAAAAAUACAUAAUUUUUUAAAAUUUUGUUUAAAAAUUAACAAAAAUUCAAACAAUAUUUUCAAACGAAUUUUAAAAAAUAGCAAGAAAGGUGACCAUAAAUUUUAAAGAAUUUCACAUUUUUUUUAACAAAACUUUAAAAAAUUCAAUAAUUUUACUAAUAAAUUUUAAGAAUCAUUUUUGAAAUAAUUAAAUUGAUAAAAUUUUUAUUUAAAAUUUAUUUCUAACAAUAUAAUAUAAAUGUAGCAUCAUUAUCAAUAGUAAAUUGGCGAAACUAUGGGAUCUAAAAUUUUGGGAUAAUUAAGAACACAUGAUUAAAAUAAAAUCAUGAAAAGAAAAGAAAAAAAAAUAUAUCAGCUGGGUUAUGAUUUCAAAUGUUUUCUAGAUAUUUCAUUUUUUUGCUAAUUCCAUCUAAUAAAUAUUAUAUUCACUAGUGAAUGAAAAAAGAAGAGAGAGAACACAUACCUUGCUAGAGGUUAAAGAAACCCUUGAUCCUUUGGAAACUAGAGAAUUUUUCCUUGGAUGAGUGAUCUUCUCUAUUAGCAGGCCUUUUUCCCGACGGCUGAGGCCAAUGCUUCUGAUCUUGGGCAUAUAUGAGAUGUAUCCCACAACUUUUCAUUUUAAAGGAUGCGUUUUCGCCACAUGUAAAAGAGGCAUUAUAGACACGAUUGUAAAAGUGAGCCUUGAAGUUGUUCCACUUUCUGGAUCGAUACUUGCUUGGAAUGCCAAUCUGCGGGAAAUACGUCACCCACAGUGCUGGAUCUGAUGUGCUACCACUGUCGUAGCGUUCGCUGCUACAUGAUAUACCUUCAAUGCAGUAUCUUUUACAAUGAGGAUGAAAAUGAAUAUUAUCCAGUCGUUUAGAUUGAUCACCAUGGGAUAUCGCCAAUUCACAUUGAGGAAAAUAAGAUGUUCUCACGCAUUCAUCAUCAUCAAGGGGAACAUGAUGGAAGAAUAAAACAAAUCCUAACAAGUUAUUAUCUUCAUACCAAUUCAUUGGAAGCUCCACACUUACUUCACAUCCCAUUCUUUGAUGACUUACCCACUCUGGUAUUCCACUACUUCCUGGAAUGAUAAUAUUAAAUCUCCGCUGCAGAAAAAAAUGUCAUGUAAAUCUCAUGCUUUUUUUUUGAAAAAAAAGGGGGGUGGGGUUGGGGAAGGGCGGUUGAUAAUUAUGCCAUGAAAAUGAUACCUGAAUUGGUGAUUUCAAGUGUUUGAGCAAAGAAGACCAGAGUAGACUUGAAGAAGUUUCAGUUUCCAGGCAUGGACAACCAUGUGCCUCUAUCCAUCCUAGACUUGAUGGAAGCUCUCCAAUUACUUCAAGCAUCGGACAAUGAUUCAUGAGAAGGGUACGAAGCUUACAAAGAUGAGUGAUGCCAGUAGGUAUGCAACGCAUAUGGUUUUCACUUAUGUUUAAAAAUUCCAGUGAGGAUAGGCACCAUAAAUCACUGGGGAUUUCUUCUUCCAUCAGAUUGCAACCACCUAGAUCUAGCGACGUUAAGAUACAUUGCUGGCUUCUCAAAUUGUCAGGCAAGUUGUGGAGCUUUGGACAGUUACGAACAUGAAGACUAGUAAGACAUGUCAAAUUACCGAUGCUAUUGGGAAGAGCCACAAGGUUCUCACAAUUGAUCAAUUCCAAGGAUUUAAGACCUCUCAGAUGUUCAAUUGAUGAUGGCAGCUCUGAGAUACCCGUCUCACAUAAAAAAAGGCCUUCUAAUUGUUCCAUAUCCUCCGUGAUCUCUAAAAAAGCCUCUAGAUUUGAACAACCAUUGAGAGAGAGGCCUUUGAGGGAUUUCAACCCACAUAUACUGUUUGGAAGACUUUUCAAGUUUCUACAAUUUUCCAAAUCUAAGCGUUCAAGUCUGGUGAGAUGACCUACUGAGUAGGGUAAUCCUCUAAUAGCAGUCUCAUCUAGAAAAAGACCCCAUAGAUUCCCCAUAUUUUUUUGAAUCUCAGGAAACCUCUCAAGAUUUGAGCAACCACUGAGAUCAAGAAUUUCAAGGGCCUGCAAGCGCCCAAUGCCAUUUGGGAGUUCCUUAAUAGCAGUAUCCUCUAAACAAAGCAUCUUCAAGCAUUUCAUAUUCCCUUGGAUCUCUGGAAAUUUCUCAAAGUUUGAGCAAUAUCUGAGGUUAAGUUCUUCAAGAGAUUCCAAAUACCCAAUGCUGCCUGGGAGUUCCUUAAUACCACUCCCAUAUAGACAUAGCUCCCUUAAACGCCCCAUAUUGGUAAAUACAUCUGAAAAUUUCUCAAACUUUGAACAUUCUCUAAGAGAAAGCAUUUCAAGAGAGGUUAAGGACCCAAUGCUAUUUGGGAGUUCCUUAAUAGCAGUCUCAUCUAAAAAAAGAUUCAACAAACAUUUCAUAUUCCCUUGGAUCUCUGGGAAUUUCUCAAAUUUGGAGCAACAUGAGAGGUCAAGAAUUUCAAGAGAUUCCAAAUACCCAAUGCUGCUUGGGAGUUCUUUAAUACCACUCUCACGUAAAUGAAGCCCCCUUAAAUGUCCCAUAUAGGUAAAUGUAUCCGGAAAUUUCUCAAACUUUGAACAUCUUUCUAAAUAAAGCUCCCUCAAAAAUUUCAUAUUCCCAUGGAUCUCAGGAAAUUUCUCGAAAUUUGAACAAUCUGAGAGAUUAAGGACUUCAAGAGAUGCUAAAUACACAAUGCUACUUGGUAGUUCUUGGAUCCCACUCCUGUUGAAAUAAAGCUCCUUCAAACAUUCCAUAUUCCCAUGGAUCUCAGGAAAUUUCUUGAAAUUUGAACAAUAUGAGAGAUUAAGGACUUCAAGAGAUGCUAAAUACACAAUGCUACUUGGUAGUGCUUGGAUCCCACUCUUGUUUAAAUAAAGCUCCUUCAAACAUUCCAUAUUCCCAUGGAUCUCAGGAAACUUCUUCAAGUUUGGACAACAAUUAAGAUAAAGAACUUCAAGAGAUUCAAACUUCAUGCUGGAUAGGAAACUUCGGAGCUGUUCACAUCCUCCUAAAUUCAAGUAAGUCAAACUUUUGAGAUCGCCAAUAGAUGGAUGAAGUUCACGCAAGCUUAUACAACCUUCAAGAUUCAGUCUCUCCAAAUUCGACAUGCUUGAGAAUUUUGGCAUUUUGACCAAUUGUUUUGAGUUACUUAGAUCAAUGCCCUUUAAUUCUUCAAGACGCUAUAACAGAAGACAUUUUGUUAAUAAAAAAAAUAAAAAAUUGAAAAUUAUUAUAAAGAAAAAAAACAUUAAAUAAUGAUCAUACCCUAUUCCCUUUCCAAAGUUGUUUUACGUUGCUAGACUUCAAGUUGAUUUCAAUCAGGUGCUUUCCAUUAAAGUUCCAAGGUAAAGACGUCAAAGUGCAUCUUUGCCAAUGAAGAUAUCUCAAAUCAUGAGGAAAUUGAAAGUCUUUAGGAAGAAGCACUUUAUACUCCUCUCUCGUCAAACCAUCAUGAUCAUUGCAAUAGAUUUUAAGCAACCUAAGUUUCUUCAUCUUGGAAAACACUUUUGUAUUGAAUUGUAUUUCUCUUGAUCUAGACAAGUCCAAAGAUAUGGUUUGAAUAUUUUGCAUCUCCUGGAAAACAAUAAGGAAAAAUAAGGGAAUAACACAAGAUAAAAAUCCUAACUACAAUUAUAUAGUCAAUUAACCACUAAAAAAUUGAUUAUAAGCAUUUAAAUAACUAUAUUAAGCAUUUAAUUCAUACCUCUUGUUUAGAAAAUGCAUCAUAAAUAUCAUCUACAUCCCACAAUCUACUCCAUUUGCAGGGGUCUCCAAGACAUUCUUCACGAAUAAUUGCCCAACCCAUUUCUUGUAUCAAGUCAUGCAUUUGUAUGACGUUGUUUAAGAUAGUUACUAGACAUCUAUCACAAAGAACUCUUAUGUUGCAUGUUACAAAUAAAUUGCAACCAUCUAAUAUUCUUGACACAAAAUCUUUGCAUUCACCUUUGAAAAAACACGCAAUGUCCAGGAAAACCUCCUUUUGAGAAGGAUCAAGCCCAUCAAAACUUAUUCUAAGCGCAUCAUUAAUUUCCUUCAUAGGGUUUUUUUUCAAUUUAUCCGAUGCGCUUUUCCAUUCAUCUAUUGUCAUGCCCUGAAGAGAAGAACCUAGAACUUUAAGGGCUAAAGGGAGACCUUGAGCAUAUUGUACCAUGCAAUUUGAGAGGUCUACAUAAUCUUCUUUAGGAACAUUUUGUUUAAAGGCAUGUUGGCUGAAGAGUUGAAGAGCUUCCUCAUAAUGUAAUUCUGUAGCCUUAUGUGAUAUAGUCACUCCAUACUCAACCAACAGAUGUUGGUUUCUAGUUGUAAUGAUAAUUGUACUUCCUGGACCAAACCAUUUAGGACUUCCAGCCACUGACUCUAAUUGUUGCAACCGAUCCACAUCAUCAAUUACAAUAAGAACCUUUUUUGAGCCAAGUCUGUCCUUUAUUAUAUUGAUUCCUUUAUUGAUAUUGCUAAACUCUUCAUCAUUCCCCACUGUAUCAUGAAGAAGUUGUUGUUGUAGUUGAAGUUGACAACCCUUGUUGAAUGUCUCUCUGACAUCUUGAAGAAAGCUAGCACCAGUGAAUUGAUAUUGGAUCUCAUUAUAAACAAUCUUGGCAAUGGUAGUUUUACCAAUUCCACCAGUUCCAUAGAUCCCAACCACACGAGUGUCAUUCAAGUCACUACUUAACAAUGACUUUAGUUCUUUUAGGCGAAAAUCCAUCCCAACUAUAUCAUCGUUAAUGUGCAAAAGCUUAGAAUUCAUUGAUCUUUUAAAAAUCUGGUUAAUAAUUUCCUUAAUAUGCUUUGACUCAUACCUGC